AUGUAUUAUAAUUAAUCUAAUAUUAAAUCGCGUAAUAAUUAGGCUGACAUAUUGGAAUAAAACAUUAAAUUUUUCUUUUUUUGAAUUCAAUAAAACUUUGAACUUAAACCCGACAAGAUUAGGAAAUGAACUUACAGUCUUGUGUUGUGUUUAUAUUGGACUGUCAUAUCGCCGACCCGUACCCCACACUCAUUCGUACAACGUAUUGACAUUGUUUUUUUCGUAGACUAAGUUAACACCAUGUCCCUGAAUGGACAAUGACGUCUUAUCAAAAAAAGAGGAGUGAGGUGCCACUAUAUUUUUGCUCGUGACUUGAAAUUUGAACCAACAAAUUUGGUAUAAUGGUAACAAAAAUAUUGUUAUUUUUUUAUCUAUGUGACAUUGUUUUUAUCAUUAGGAUUUGCCUAUUUUACGUUUCCUCUUACACAGCUGAACAAUGGGUUUUAUUAAGAUUUAUUGUCACAUGGAGAGCUAUAUUUUACAUUAAACGUAAGGUAGCAACUCCCUUAUUAUUAUGGCAUGCAUCUUUUUCUUAAGAUUCUUUGUCAUUUUUCGUUGAACAGUAAUAUUCUUCGGAACCGUAGAACAAUACGUAAUUACAUACUUGCAUCUGUAAUUAAGAACACCUAUCCAGAGAUUUGUUCCCUUCAAUUCAUUGGUACGACAAUACCUCUAAAGUUAAAUAUAACCAUGAUGUGGCUCAUAACUCACAAUUGAUUGAAUUGGUCUGAUGAUUGUUUCAUUUGCCAAAAAGUAAAGCUCAAAUUAAACUUAACUUGGAGAAAAUCAAAGACUCCAUCAUUUUCAUGUUUUUAUACGGUCUCAUAGUUUUUCCUCGUUGGAAAUUUCGAACGUGAAAAGAAGUUAAAAACUUUUAUUAGUUUAUAUAAGAAACUGAUUUCUUUUUUAUUUAAAUCAUUUAACUUAUAUUUUUUCUAGCUUACUUUUAAUUUAAUAAAUAAUAUUUGAACUAAAAGAUACGUGGAUCCAAAUAUCUAGCUUUGUAGAUGUACAACUUUCAUGUAAAGAUAUUUGUAUCUGUAUCUCGAUCCGGAUAUGUACAAAUCUUUAAUAUUACCAUCUAAGUCUGCAUUUUUUAAUCUGCGGUUAAGGAUCUUUCUGGAUCUGGAUCUUCAGGAUCAUUGCGGUUAAGGGUCAGACCCAAAAUUUUUUGUCAUCCCUCGUCUUAAGUAUAUUAUUUGAGCCUGAUGUGACCGACAAUCUAAUUUGACCAAUUUAACCAUUUUAUUAGAAUUUGCUAAUUAAAAUUAAAAAAAAAAAACAAGAAGUUUGCUUAUGUUAUAAAUUUACAUAUGGCAACACUAAAGAGUGGCAUAAAAAAAGAGAGAAGGCCAGAGUAAAUAUAAAAAUCUCAGCAGCUAAAAAUUCAUUAUUCUUAUUCAUUUCGUGGCUUUAUAUAGAACAAGGGGAAGGGGGUGUUAUAUGUUAUUCAUUACGUCCAUUAUUGAUUAUUUUAUUUACAUUCAUUUCUAGGAAUGAUUGAGAACCAGUUGGAUGUAGUUCAUGAUUUUCAUUUCAAAUUUUUUUUAAAAAAAUCUCAGAGGUUUUUAAGAGCUCUUCAAGAGUUCCAAUUAAGUUCAUGUCAUCAAUAUAAAAUGCUACAAUUGCAAAUCCUAAUUUAGUUUUUUUAAUAACUGCAUAUAGGUAAAUAGGAUCAUUUUUAUGUCCUCCUUUAAUUAAAUAUUCCCUCAAAUGCAUCCAAAUUGUUUCAAUUUAGAUAAAGAUCAUUGUAGUUUUAUUGAACACAGAUUUCUUUAAAUCUUUAGUAGUUUUUAUGAGCUCUUCAGGAGUUCCAAUUAAGUUCAUGUCACUAACAUAAAAUGCUAUAAUUGCAAAUCUAAAUUUAGAUUUUAUGAUGAAUGCAUAUGGGUAAAUAAGAUCAUUUUUAUCUCCUUCUUUAAUUAAUAUUCCCUCAAAUGCGUCCAAAUUGUUUCAAUUUGGAUAAGGAUCACUGUAGUCUAAUUGAACACAUAUUACAAUCCUUUAAUUUAAAUGCUUCAAGCAUUUUGAAAAUUUUAAAGAUUUUUAUGUAAAUAUUAGCAUCAGCCAUCAAGUGACCUAUACAGAUAUAUAAUCACUAUAUCUAUUAUAUGCAUGUUAAGUCUUUUUUAGAUUACUAAGUUGAUUAAAAAUCAAAACAAAAUGGUACCCAUCAGAAGAGAAUACAUAUUCUCAUAAUCAAUAUCAUCUAUAGGAGACUUUGUACAACUAGUCAUGCUUUGUAUCUAAUAAUUUUAUUACGUUCAUUACGUUUCCUCACAAAUACUCAUUUAUAUCCAACAGGAUUGAUGUCUUCAUGUGUCUAAACUACAGGUCAAUAAACUUCACGUUUAGCUGGAGAAGUCAAUUCUACUGUAAUGGCUUCUGUUCAUUGAGGCCAAUCACGCCUUUGUCUAUAUUUAUCAGUAGUUUCAAGAUCAUAAUCAUUUAGAAUAUCAUUAGCUACUGUAAACGCAAGCACAUCAUUGAUGAUAAUUUCUUUAUGAUUCCACACAUUUGUGUUUGUAAAAUCUAUAGACGUUUCUUUAUGUCUAGCCACUUCAAGGCCUUAUGCCUCAUCUCAGGCGUGUACUUUUUCAAGAAGUCUUUUAGGGUGUUUGGUCUUAUCAAGGGCAAACGCUUUUAAAAAUAUUACCCUGAGUAUAGUCAACAGGAAUCUCACAAUUUUUUUAUCCAUUUGCCUCUUUAAAAGUUAUUGUCACUUUAGGGACUUAUGUCUCUUUAGGGACCAUCAAUUUAUUUAGAACUAUGAUGCAGAUAAUAAGGUAUAUUCAUAGCUUGAGCUUCAUUUUCAACAGGAUUUGAUUUUUCAUUCUCCUGUUCUGGGGAGUAUUGUCUUUGCAACCAAGUGAUCUGCCAUUUCUAAUCUAUAACAGAUAAUUCAUUAGCUACUCAUACACUUAAUUGUUCAACAAAAACAAUCACUCGAGUUAAUGUAUUAGCAGUUGGAAUAAAUGACUUGUUUAGUUUUACCAAAAUCUGCAUCCGGCACUGUAAAAAUAUUAUCCUCCGUACUUCAUUUUCACAUUAACUAGUACAUGGAUCUAAUUGAGACAAUAUGAAUAAAAAAAAUUUCCAAGACAAUUCAUGCCUUACUUCAGGAGGUUUUCUAUUUCCUGGUGAUGGAAAAAUUGUGUCAUUAAAGUGAAAAUCUACAAAACAUACGGUGAAAAGUUUAUCCGAUAGGGGUUCAAGAUAUCAGCAUUGUAAAAUGAUGCAAUUAUGCAAAUGUAAUAUUGCAUUGCAUAAUACAAACCAACAUAUGACCAUCACACAAGAGAAUCAUUCAAAACCAUAAAAUAGCAAACUAGUCCACUAUUUAGAUAGAUUUUGGUCCACAUAUAUCUCCCUAAAUUCUUUAUAGAAAUGAUGGAGACUCAUGACCAACCUCAGAAGGGGAAUGUGUAUCCACAAAUUUUUCUUGUGAGCAAGUAAUACAAACAAUCUCAUUGGACAAUUGAAUCUUCUAGUUCUUUAAUGGAUCUCCAUGAUGAUUUCAUCAAUAAUUCUAUGCAUCGUUGCAGAUCCUGGGUGCCUGUUGGUUGCUUAUUGCUUUAGGUGUCAAUAUGCAAGUGUACACAAUAAGUAGUAUAAUGAGGAAUAUUCAAAUUGUUUCCACAGGGAUUGAUGUUAUAUGACUUGCUACAACAAUCUUAAUGAUGCAAAUUCAACCUAAUUAAACUAAAAUACUGAAUGAAAUUAUUAACCUAACUAAAUUGAAAAUGUAAUAAAUAGAAUGCAAUAAAGAAAAAUUCUCAAGUCAAACACAAAAAUAUAAUCAAAGGGAAAUGAGUAGUUGAGUGCUUAAACUCACUUAAUGGUAUUGACUAUUUUUCCAUUAAUAUUUUAUUGCAACAACAUUUACUAUAACACUGGGUAGAAUCCCUCAUGCAUCCUCAGCUGUCGCAUAUCAGAUAUCUUAUAUCUAAAUGCAACCUACCAGUGACUAGUUGUUUUGCUAAUAUUAGAUACAACAUUAUACGUUCUAUGUUCCAAUUGUCCUACAAGGUAAAUAUUUAUGUCUAGUUCUUCACUCAUCUUAGAUUAAGCAUCGCCCUAUUCAAAUCGAGAUUAAUUCAACUUGGGAAACUCAACCUAAAACCAUGUAUUGUCUUGAUUUAUUCCACUAAGUCAAACUUUUUUUAGGCUCCUUCUUAACUAGUAUCCACUAAAUGAGUGGUCAGCCAAAAUAAGGAUUUUCAAUAAAUAAAAUCAAGACAAAAUGCUACAACAUAUUCUGAGCAACACACAUGUAUAAGUCAAAUAACCAUUAAGCUUGUUUAAUACCCAACUACACCAAAGUUUAGUUCAUGAUAUGAGAUAAAAUAGUAACAAUACUCAUGUAUGCCAUAAAAUACAUUCCCAUAGAGUGAAGAAAACAAGAAAAUAAAGAUGAGGAAUUGAGUUCCGCUAGGCCUUUGCAAUCUCUUAUUCUUUUUCUUCUGGAAUCCCUUGUUGCAGCCCUCAAUUAUCCCUUAUUCUUUUUUUUUCUCUAUUAUUUUUCUUGAGUGACGGCUUUCCCUUUUCUUCUUUCACGUGUGCUCUUUUUAUAUCUUGAAAUUAGGGCAACUAAAAGUAUGUGGCCACAUGUUUCUUUUUUGAAAACCUCGGAUCACAUAUCUUUUUGUGCCGCCCGUCAUUGCUUUGUUAGUUAACACACGCGUAAUCUUGUCUGCAGUUGCUCUCGAAUUGUUGUAGCAAUGGCUAUAACAUAUUUUCUAAUUUAAACUUAUUUUGGUUCAUCUGCAGAUAAAUUCUUUGUCAUUUCUAUAAGUUUGCUGCUGCUGCAUGCCAUCCAUAAAACUUGAGCUUUUUGACACCUACAAUCACACACAUAAUCAGAGCAUAAAGUUCUCUAAACAAAACCAAUUUAUUAAAAAUAAAUAUAAAAAAAUGCUCAUGUAAGAUGUAAUUAAAAAUGCAAUAAAAACACAUAAGUAAUAUUAGUUUAAGUCUAAAAAUGCCAUGUUAACUCUUACUUCAUAGAGUUGUCACACCCCCAAACUUAAACCAUUACUUGUCCUCAAGUAAUGACAAUAAUACUAACACUUUACUCAUACAAUCAUGCAACAAACAACUUAACUUUAUCAUCUAACUUGGUCGGAUUCAUCAGUCCUCAGAUUUCAUUCUUAAAUAUGCAAAAUCACCAUUAGUAGUUCCAGUUCUAGCUUAGGUCUUAUUCUAUCUAGAGUGUGUGUGUGUGGAACUUUGAUUAAGUUCCAGAGUUGCUGCAGCAUCACACAAGAUCAAAUAUAACUCAAAGAUAAAAUAAAAGACAAUUCUAUUUAUGGGGGAACAAGAGUAAAAAAUAGCUCCAAAUUGUGCUACAACAAUUAUUAUUUUCUUUCCAUUUUUUUCUCAAGUCAUACCCUUAAGUGUAACAUUGAUUUUUCAUAUGAGUGCCUAUCACUUGUAAUGAUGACACCCAAUUACUUAACUAAUGUACAAAUCAGAGUUACUGCAGUAUAAACAUUUAAGAUGCAAUAACAUAGUCUUAUCUUUAGACACUUUUGACUUAAGGUUGAACAUGAGGCUCAUGAACAAACCUGGAUACUCAAUAUCCUAGACAGAGGACCUAUCUUGUUUUUUGGGUUGCUACAGUAAUGCCCAUAACUCUUGUUGCUUUUUUACUCAAGUCUGCAUUUGGGGUACAUAUUCAGCCGUGGUCAUUCAACAACUGAGUCAUUGGAGCAGAAUUUUAUUUCAUAUCUACCACAAUUUGUGACAAUUCUAAAACAUUUUUUCAGGUUCCCCUAAACUUGAGAUAUUGUUAAACCUUAGCUCUACCUGGUUUUUUUACAGCAUACUCACAAAACUCAACCAAAGCCUAAGUGUUAAGACAUAAUUCCAACGCCCAUCUAUAAACUAUCUCUACUUGGAAGUCAUUCGUCUUACAUUUCAUCACUCAAUUCAUCCUCAUUGGGUUUUCUAAUCAAAUACAAAUGCUAGACAAAUAGAGCUACACACAUAAUACAAACACAUACAUUCAUAGACACAUUACACCAUAACACAGCCCCUUUUAUUUGGGGUACAUAUUCAGCCCUGGUUACUCAACAACUGAGUCAUUGGAGCAGAAUUUUAUUUCAUAUCUACCACAAUUUGUGACAAUUCUAAAACAUUUUUUCAGGUUCCCCUAAACUUGAGAUAUUGUUAAACCUUAGCUCUACCUAGUUUUAUUACAACAUACUCACAAAACUCAACCAAAGCCUAAGUGUUAAGACAUAAUUCCAACACCCAUCUAUAAACUGUCUCUACUUGGAAGUCAUUCGUCUUACAUUUCAUCACUCAAUUCAUCCUCAUUGGGUUUUCUAAUCAAAUACAAAUGCUAGACAAACAGAGCUACACACAUAAUACAAACACAUACAUUCAAAGACACAUUACACCAUAACACAGCCCCUUAAACUUAAGAGGUGUUGUGUCCUUACAUGCAUUCAACAUAAAUAAAAACAAACAUGCAUACACUUAAAAUUAAAAAAAUGUAAAAUAAACAUGAUAAAAUAAACAAAAGAAAAGAAAAGAUUUAGAAAUUGCAAAGCUAAAGUGGGCUAACAAGGGAUACUCCUCUGUUGUUGGAAACUAUUCUAAGCAUAUGCUGUAAAGGGUCACUACUUCUUUGAUCCAUUUCUCAAAUGCUCCUUUGGUGAACCUAGUGGUGCAGCAAUUAAUUGUUUCUUCUUCUGGCUUUUGGUUAGAUUGGUUGGAGGGGUUCCAGCAGCUUCUGUAACAUUGGGUAAAGUUGGCUUUGUUUUCUUGGGUUCUGGUUCUUCUGGUGCUCGCAAUACUGCAGCACCUCUAGAAGGUGUGCCCAUUUUCUCUUACUGGGUGCCCUUGGAGUUGAGACAGGAGAUUUUGUGGGAGUUUUCUUUAGAGCGUCUGGUGAAGGAGUUGUUGUUGUUAGUUGAUCAGUAGUAAUGGGUUCCUUUAAACUUCACAUUCAUUCUUUUGUCUUUGUAGCUCUGCUGAUAACUUUCUUUAAGGCUGCAUUAACAUUAUAUUUUUCCUCUGUCUCGGACUCCUUAUAGAUCAACAUUUGUUUCCCUCCAGUCAUAAUUAGAGGUUUAUAUUCCUUUUCCUCUUAUUCUUCUUCUUCCUCACUUUCUGCUCCCUUUUCUUCUUCCUCAUCUUUAGCUUCUUCUUUUCUUGCUGCAGCUCUUCUACUGACUAUUCUUUGGUCAAUACUUCUUCACUUUCUUCUACUGGAGUAGUCUCUUCAGCUCUUUGGAAAUUGAAGUGCGGCAAUAGUGACUUAGGGAAAUCUGUAUGUUUGCUCUUUAUAUAUAUUACAAAUUGAUGUUUUUGUGCUUUAAAAUGUAGUAAAAAGUCUAAAACCUCUUAUUCUCUUUUUUUUUGUGCUUGGACACAUGCAUUUAAGCUUUCACUGAGUUCUUACAAUAUCUUCUCAAUCCCUAUAGCUUGCCUUGAUUUAACAGCAGCAUGUUAUUCUGAGGUUGCUGCAGUAAAUUUCCUACCAAUCCUUUUGACUAUCUUAGCUAUGAUAGCCCCUUCAUUGUUCACUCUCUCAUUACUUGCCAAAAAAUUUUACCCCCGAGGCCUCACAAAUGCUUGUGAUAAGUGAAGGAAAUAGCAAUGUAGUAGACUAUUGCUUAUUUGUUGCACGCUCUCUAAUUGCUUGUUCAAUGAUCUUUCCAACAUCAAUGGCUAGACCCUUUACUAUAGCACAGAGACGUAUGAGUCUAUCUUGGGAUACUGUGGUUGUGUGUAUAGUUAGUGUUGUAUAAAUUUUAUUGAACUCACAAGUGUACGAAUCUAUUAUAGAAUAGAUCAAUGGUGACGAGUGUCGAUCUCACGAGAAGGUGAAUUUUAAUUGCGUGUAGAGUUAAUUUUCUAAGUGGAUGGUUGGAUUUGUGGUGAAGGUCAUUUAGACUUAUCCUAAAAUUUAAAUUAGAAUUGAGGGAAUAAAUUAGAGUAAAAUCUAUUGAAAUUGAAGCGCUUAGGUAUCUGGAUAUGCAUCAACAUGCACCAUGGGUUUAAUAUUCCUUAUUAGUGCCAAUUAAAUCAUGAAGGGGUUUCCACUCCUUAUGAACCUCACUCUAAUAAAUAUGGUGCUAAAGGCUUAUUGUGCCAAAUAGUAAUAACCUUGUACUAGGGAGCCGGUUAUACCAAUGCGGUAUCUAGACAAGAUUAUUAUUAUAUGUCAAUGAAAAGUCAAAAAAUCCACAAAAAUUAAAGGGAAACAGAAAGUAAAUUUACUAAAUCAAGCUCAUGGCACAUGUUGAGACUUCACCUUCAACCUAAACUUGAAAGAAAAUUAGCUAUUCAUAAUUGAAUUAAGGAUAAAAUAGAAAUUUAUUAAAAUAUGUAGAAAAUACAAGAUGGAGAAGGAACUACAGAAAAUAGAGCUAAAAAAUGAAUUCAGGGAUGUCGAAUUAAGGAGGAGCCCCCUUUUUUAUAGAUACAAUGAGUAAAUCAUGGCCAUCAGAUUAAAACAAUUUGGACGCUCAGGAUUGCACCACGUGACAAGUUCUGAUUGGAUAGAACACAUCAUCAGGGCUGUCAUUCCGUGUAAUACAUGUAUCAUACGCAUGUUUUUUGAUCCACUGACAUACUGCCACGUUAUCGGUCAACUAUACAUAAUCAUUUUAGUCUAAUAGGAUCGCGACACAUCAUCAGUCAACGCCACAUAGGCAGUCAAUGCCACACCAUUCGUCCAAUCGAAUGUUGCCACAUCAUCGGUCGGUGCCACAUGAUCAUACCGUAUAUGUAAAUAGUGUUGUGAACAGUAUCAUGAGCAAUACCAUAAAUGUAAACAGUGUCGUAUGCUCCUCCUAAGGUUUUCGACUAUCCUAAGUUCAAAAUUGAUGUCCGUUUUGUUAUCUAAUCUCUUAUUCAUUGUGACAUAACCAUGAUGCCCCGUGAAAUACAGAAAAUACAUAAUUAUAAUAAAACACACAUAAAUAAAUUACAAGGGACUUAACUACAUAAAAGUAGAGAUGUUAGUGAGACUUGGAGUGUAAAAUGAUGAUUUUCUCCUUUAUAAAUAUACACUUUUUAACACUCAAUAGUUGGCAUCAGUCUAGAUUUCAAGAAUUUCACCCAAACCUUAGCAAUAGGAUUCAAGUCUAUUCUAUUAACCACCCUACCCUCUUCAUUCAUCCAUUUACUGCCUUAUAUGGUUAAGGCUUUAAAAACCUCCCCUCACUUCUUUACAAUCAUGUUCUAAAUAAAUUUGGUAUACUCACAAUCAAUAACAGCAGGCAAGUCAUAAAAAACAUUGAUAACUCGAGAAUCUAAAGGUACUUGAACUUGCCUCGCAAAAAUAUUGUGUUGGUCUUGCUGUAACAUGUUUGAAUAGAACGCUUUAACGAUUGGGAGGACUGAGUCUUGGGGGGUGAGCACAUAACUUGAUCCAUCCUCUCCGUGCUGCAGCAGAAUAGAUAUUGUUUAUCAUCCCAGUUGGUUGUUUGGAAAUUAGAAGCCCUUUUCUUCCAAAAUUUCCCUCAGCUCGAUAAUUUAUUUAUAUUUUUCCUCGGCUUUAAAGUUGUAGAAAUGCUCAGGAUCCUUCAAUCUACCAGCACGUCCUUUAAUUUUUGGCAUUGCUGCAGCAAUUUAAAUUGAGUUUUGUUGUGCUGAAAAGAUAAAAACUUGAAAAAAAAAUGUAAAGAUGCUGGGAGUUACAGAUGGGGAAAGAAAAAGUAGUACUGAAUUUGAAAUGUUGAAAGUGAAACCCUGAUUUAUAGCAAAAGGAAAGUGGAGAGAGAGAGGUAAUUAAAAUGAUAAAUGUAGAAAAAUUUUGAAUUUAAAAAAAAUUAAAUGGAAAAGAAGAUAUAUGUGUCAUGGAAAAUCAGGGAUUGCAUAAUCUUUCUUAUUAAAAAUUAUGAUCUACUGACAUAAAUGUGUCAUCCACCAACUGUAAAAAUCCAAGGCUGAUAGUGCAACUGUAAAAAUCAUUGCUGUAACAAUCAAUCCAUUGUUGCAGCAAUAAGGGUAAUGCCUUUGUUAUUUGCAAACCAUUUUUUGUCUACCAUGCUAUAUGUGAUACUGCCGCAAGUUCUUUCUGCUUCUCUGCCCACCUUUUUUUUAGUCAACUUCUACUUGCUCCAAUUUAACACAAGAAAAUAAAAGAGAAUAAAUAAAUUAGAUGCACAUUUUAAAAUAAAAAAAAGACAAAUUAAACAAUUUUCAAAACUAAGUUUAGUGCUUUAAAAUUUUGAAACAACUUCCCUCAUUAGGUUAGGUUGCCUCCUAAUAGUGCUUGAUUUUAGGUCCUUUAGCUUGACCAUCCUUGAUUGCUCAAGCUGGAUCCUUUAAGAACAAUUCCUCCCUUGGAUUGUUCACAAUAGCUCCAAUGUACUGUUUGACUUAUUGUCCAUUCACCUUAAAUUCAUGACAUGUCCUUUUAUUUUAAAGUUCAACAGCUCUGUAAGGUUAAACUUUAAUGAGUUUGAAGGGUCUUGAUCAUUUAGACUUUAAUUUUAUAGGGAAGAGUUUUAAUCACGAGUUGUAAAGCAAGACUUGGUGGCCUGGAAUAAACUCCCUAUGCUGGAUUUGCUUGUUAUGCCAUUGUUUUGUACUUUUCUUGUAUAGUCUUGCAUUUUCAUAUGAGAACAACCGUAAUUCUUGUAGCUCACAAAGCGGUAACUUCCUCUGCUCUAUUGCUAGAUACGAUCAGUUGUUUUAUUGCCCUAUAUGCUUUGUACUCCAACUCUAAUAACAAAUGGAAAACUUUCCCGUAAACAAUUCUGUAUGGAGGCAUGCCAAGUAGUGGGGGUUUUGUAAGUUGUUCGGUAAGCCUAUAAGGAGUCAUUUAGUUUAAUGGACUAGUCAUUCUUUUGGGAUUCACCACUUUCUCUAGAAUCUUUUUUAUCUCCUUAUUGGACACUUCUAGCUAAUCACUUAUUUGUGGAUAAUAUGUUGUAGCAACUUUAUACUUGAUCCCAUACUUAGCCAACGUUGCAGUAAAUAUUCGAUUGCAAAAUUGGGUUCCUUCAUCACUGACAAUUGCUUUACGAGUGCCAAAUCUUGAGAAAAUGUUCUUCUAAAGAAACUUCACCACUACCUUAGCAUCAUUUGUUCGCAAUGUUGUAGCUUCUACCCACUUGGAUAUAUAGUUGGAUACAUAGUCUACAACAACUAAGAUUUAUAAAUUGCCAAAAGAAGGUGGAAAUGAUCCUAUAAAGUCUAUUCCCUAUACAUCAAAAAGUUCAACUUUUAAGAUGUUGGUUAGUGGUAUUUCAUGCUUUUGAGAUAUGUUUCUUGUUUUUUAGCAACUUGUCACAACAUUUAACAAACUCAUAAUCAUCUUUAAAGAUAAAGGGCCUGUAAUAACCUAAUUGAAAAACUUUUGAUAUUGUUCUAUGUCCUCCAAAGUGUCCACUAAAUACUGUAGCAUGACAAGACUGCAUAAUAUUUGAAAUUUUUUCAUUAUGAAUACAUCUUCUGAUCACAUGGUCUAAAUAAAUCUUGUACAAGUAAGGGUCAUCCCACUGAUAGCUUCUGACAUCAUGGAGAAAUCUCUUAUUUUGCUGGCAGCUCAAAUCAGGUGGUAGUAAUCCACUUACUAAGUAAUUAGAGAAAUCUGCAUACUAUGGAAAUCUAGAUUGAUGCAGUAUUUGUGCAUGCUGUAUCAUCAUAACUGCUCAUUAGGAAAAGUUUUUGUGAUGUCCUGCUUAGUCAAAGUGCUUGCAUCUGCUUCAAGUCUUGAGAGAUGAACUGCUACUUAAUUCUUAGUGCCUUUUCUAUUUAUGAUCUCUAAGUCAAACUCUUAUAGUAAAAGAAUCCAUAUAAUCAACGUUAGUUUGACAUCUUUGUUUGAAAUCAAAUACUUUAUUGCUGAGUGAUCAGUAUAAACAGUCACUUUGGUGUUAACCAAAUAAGCUCUUAAUUUACCAAAUACAAAACAACCAGCAACUCCUUUUCAAUGGUAGUAUAGUUGAGUUGUGCAUUAGCUAAGGUCUUGUUGGCAUAAUAAAUGGAGUGAAAAAUCUUGCCUUUCCUCUACCCUAAUACUGCUCCAACAAAGUGGUCACUAGCAUCGCAUAUCAACUCAAAAGACAUACUCUAAUCGGGUGUUACAAUAACUGGUACUAUAACAAGUGCUCUCUUCAUCUUAACAAAGGCUUUUAAGUAAUUUUCAUCAAAACUAAAGGGUUUUUCAUGCUCCAACAGCAUGCAUAAAGGGUUGGAUAUUUUGGAAAAAUCCUUAAUAAAUCUUCUAUAGAACUUAACGUGUCCUAAAAAACGCCUAAUGCCCUUGAAUGAAGUAAGUGGUAAAAGUUUAUCGAUCAUUGACACAACUUAAAAGUAAAUUUUAACUCCCAAGUAUAAGAGUGUCUUGUUGUAUUAUAACUCGGUGAGUCCGAGGUCGAUCCACAGAGAAAAGAUUUAAUUAGUUUAUUUUAUUUUAACUAAAAAUUAAAAUUAAAACUUAAAUACAAACAACUUAAUUUAAAUGAAACUAUGAAAUUGAACUAGUUAGGGUUAUGGAUCCACUCUUAGAAGUAAAUAAAACUUAAUAAAUUCUUUUUGCUAAUUUUUUAGAUUUAUUACCCAAAAGAUUAAUUAUACAAAUUAUUAUUAUUUUCCCUUUAAUUUUAUGAUGGAUUAAGUAUUUAUUGUGCCAAAAUUUAAUUUGUCUACAAUAAGUCAAAAUACCAUUUUACCAUGCCUUAUAUUAAGAUCUUAAGAAUUUAUUGUGCCAAAUUCAUUUGUUUGUCUACAAUAAAUCAAAUUUUCAAAAUAUAAAACAUCUAUAAAAUUAAAUAGAAAAUAAUUUAAUUUAUAAAAUUAAACAUAGAAUUUGAUCAAAUUAUAUUUAUUUCUUAAGAGUUUCACCUUCCCCUAACUAAUAUUAUUUAGUUAAGCAUAAUUAAAAUAAAAAGAAGUAGUAAAAUUGAAUUACUUAUAAUUAAAAGAAAUAAAAACAACUAAAAUUGAAAAUAAAACUAAUUUUAUUAAUGAAAAUAAUUAUAUAAAAUAUUAAAAACACACCUGGAAAUCAAGAUUACAAGGAGAUUGAGAGAAUUUGAGAAGAAGAGAGUUGUAGAGAGAUGAUUAAAACAUAAAAAUGAGGCCCUAUUUAUAGAAAAAUAAAUUCAUAAUCCAGUGCUUUGCGGUCCAUCAUAGGCUUCAUGCAUGUGCUCCUCACAACCCUUAGAUCAAGAUCCAAUGGCUGGUCAAACUUCAAAAGUCAACAUCACACAUGGCAUCAUUUGACUCGUCCGAUUUGCCCAAAGAACAGUUGAGAUUUGGCGGGUUAAUGGGUGGAUCGGGUCGACCCGAAUACAAAGAUUCGGAUCCUCCAACUUGCUUCACCAACCAUUACCACGUGGCACAAUCAUGGCCAUUGAAUCAUGAACGGUUGAGAUUUAGUCAAGAUUGCAAUUUAUCCCAUUCACUCAUAUCUAUUGUAAGCUCAUUUCAUCAUCCAAUCAGUGCUCGGUCAACAGGAAAAAUCAACUUUUUUUACACAAGCCCAAUUUUAAGCCGAUCUUGACUGAUCUUAAGGUUUUCGGACCUCCGGAAUCCAAAUUUGACCUCCGUUUAUCUGUUUGGAGCCUCGAAGUACGUGAAAUUAAUAAUUUUCCUAAUAAACACAUAAAAAUACACAAAAUUAAAUAUAUUUAAAACAUAAUUAAUAAUUCAUAAUAUAUUACAUAAAUACAAAUAUAAAUUAUAAUAUAAGCAUAAAAUAACAUAUUAUCGCUUGAUAAUUAAACAAUUUUUAAUACUAAUCAAUCACCUCUAGUUUUGCCUUAUCCACCUCUAUUCCCUUUCUAGAGACCUUAUGACCUAAUAUUAUCCUUUCUUGUACCAUGAAAUGACACUUUUCGAAAUUCAACACUAAAUUUGUCUCUUCACAUCUCUUAAGCACAUUUUCUUGAUUAUGCAAAUAGUCAUCAUAUGAUUCUCUAAAAGCUAAAAAAUCAUCCAUGAAUACCUCAAGUGCUAUAGUCAUCAUGUUGUCUUCUCCUAUCUUCUAGUGCUAUAGCAAUCUAGUUGGAGCUUGAAUAUCUGUCCAAGAAAUAGUAGUACUCUUUUCUACCAAGUCUGUCCAAUAUCUGAUCUAUGAAAAGUAAUGGAAAGUAAUCAUUCAUUGUGGCUUUGUUUAAUAUUCUAUAAUCCAUGCAAACUCUCCAUCUAGUUAUUGUUCUAGUAGGAAUGAACUCAUUAUUUCACUUGCUAUAAUUGUUACUCCACCAUUCUUUGGAACACAUUGUACUGGGCUUACCCAUGAGCUAUAUGAUAUUGGAUAAAUGAUUCUAGCAUUAAGCCGCUUGAUGAUCUCUUUCUUCACAACUUCCUUCAUGAUGAGGUUUAAUCUUCUCUGUUGCUCUAUAGAGUUGCUGUAGUAAUCCUCCAGCAAAAUCUUAUGCAUGCAUAUGGAGGGGCUAAUUCCUUUGAUAUAUGUGAUGGUCCAUCCAAUGGCCUUUUUGUAUCUCCCCAAUACAUCCAUAAGCUCUUUUUUUGUUCUACAUUCAAACAAGAUGAAAUGAUUACAAGAAGUGUGUCAUUGUCACCAAGAUAAACAUACUUUAAAUGUGAAGGUAAAAGUUUUAAUUCUAAAACAGGAGGUGACUCAAUAGAUCAAAUAAAACUUCCCUAUUUGAAAAAUCUAGAGAUUUAAAGUGCUUUUCAGUUCUUAUGGGUUGCUUCUAUCCUAACCAUGCUUGUCAAUUGUUUCAAGAUCUUUAUUUUCCAGUUCUUCAAAUGUUAUAGCCUUGAGUUUUUUAUUGUUACAGUGACUGUUUAAUCAUUUGCAAAAUCAAACUCCACAACACUGAUAAAAUUACAUGAUUUAACAUCAUCAAGACUCUUCAUGGCAUCUAGCAUAUUGAAAGUAACUUGCUGAUCAUUAACCCGCAUAAUCAAUUCUCUUUUAUCCACAUCAAUUAGAGUAUUUCUUGUGGCUAAGAAAUGUCUGCCUAAAAUGAUUGCUACUUCUUUAUCUACCUUAAAGUCCAACACUAUGAAAUCCACUAGGAAAAUAAAUUUAUCUAUAUUUACCAAAAAUUCUUCAAUCUUAUCUUCUAGAUAGGCAUGAGAUCUGUCAGUAAGUUGUAAAGUCACUAUUGUUGGUCUAACUUCUCUAACUUCUCUAACUCCCAAUUGCUUUAACAUUGAUAGGGGCAUGAGAUUGAUGAUAGCCCUUAAAUCACAAAGUGCCUUAUGAUUAUAUUUUAGUUCCCAUAGAGCAUGGAAUUGUAAAGCUUUCUGGAUCCUUCAGCUUUUGAGGUAUCUUGUUAUGAAGUAGAUGACUGCAUUCUUGCGUUAGAGCAAUUGUUUUAAACUCUCUGAGCUUUCUUUUCCUUGCCAAAAUAUCCUUCAAGAACUUCACAUAAUUUGGAAUUUGUUCUAAAGUUUAUUGAAUUGCUUGUCUUGUUUCCGUUUAUGGAAUCCUUUAGGAAAUAGUGGUGAUGCCUAAACUGCUACGUUGUAGCAGACUGUAUAGAUUGCUUCUCUUUUGCCAUGUUCUGGACUAAUGUGGUUGGCAUUGCAAUAACUUCACCAACAGUUGCUGGAUCAUCAUUUUUUGCAGAUGUUAUAGCUUGGCUGCUCACACCAGUGUGCUAGAAACUGGGAGGUUGUGGCUCCUUUUCAACUUGAGGUUUUUUUUAUGUUACAAUAAUAUUUUCAUUCUCUUCUUGGAUCCUCUAUGUCACUGGGCAAACUGCACUGAGGUCUAUUGCUUAAUGAUGUAGCAAGCUAUCCAAUCUGAUUUUCUAAAUUUUUUAAUGAUACAACUUGACUUUGGACAAUCGUUUCAUUCUUUACAAUAUAAUCUUUAAUCAAUGCUUCAAGACAACUGAGUUUACCAUUGUUGGUGCUUUUUUACCCUUGAUUUUGCUGGUGAAAUCCAGGUGGUUGAGCAGGCAUGUUUUGUCCACUAGGUACCACAACAUGUUGAUUCUGAUAGAUCCAUGAGAAGUUUAGGCGUUUUCUCCAUCUAGGGUUGUAAGUGUUUAAGUAAGGAUUAUUCUGGUUAUAUCUGUUGAAGUUGACUACAUAGUUGACUAAGGUAAGAUUUCUAGGACAAUUAUCAAACAAAUGCCCUUCUCCGUAAUAAACACAAGAUACCUUAGUAAUUUGGUUGACAGUUACAGGAGCAGUAGUCAUAACCUUCACCAUAAUUGUUAACGAGGUUACUUAGGCUGAUAAUGUUGUCAAGGCAUCUACAUUAUGAAUUCAUGUUGUUCUUCUUGUUAUAGUUUAUUUGGUCGAUGGCCAAUCAUAAUUGUUAUUAGUUAUCAUUUCUAAAAUUUCAUAAGCCUCAUUGUAAGACAUAGAUAACAAGCCUUAUUGUUAGCGAGGCACUUGACGAAAGGGGGGCACACUGAGCAAUAUACAACAAGGAAUACAGUGAUGAGGACACCUCCUAAGUAACUCCUUGAAUAUUUCUCAUGCAACAUACAAGCUUUUAUCUUUAAGUUGAUGGAAAUAUGUGAUCUGAUUUAUCAAUUUUGUAUUCUUGGUAAGUAGGAAGUACUUCAUUAAAAAUUUGUCAACCAAGUCAUUCCAUGUAGUAAUGAAGUCAGCCAGUAGAGAGUUCAACAAUGCUCUUACUCAAUUCCUUAGAGAAUAUGGAAAAAGUUUGAGUCUCAAUGCUUUUUGUGAUGCUCCAACAAUCUUGAAAGCAUCACUUACUUUCAAAAAAAAGUUUAAGGUAAAGAUAAGGACCUUCUGAUGGCAGUCUAGUGAAUUGCCCCAUUGUUUAAAACAUAUGAAAUAUCAUUGAUUUAAGCUCGAAAUUAGUAGCUUGCACUUCAUUCUAACUAUUCUAGGAUUUGUGGCUUGAGGGGUCAACACUGCAUAAUCUAUAAUGGCUCUAUCUUUAUCAUUUGUCAUGUAGAUAAUAUUGUUGUUCCCUGGUUGCCCAUGCAUAUUUUGCCCGUUCUGACCAUUUUGACCUCCUUGUGAUUUACUAAUUCUAUUUCUCCUUGAGGGUUCAAGUUCCUUAUAUCCUAUAGAUCAUCCAUGUUGGCAGCAUAUCUUAAAUUCUUAUACUCUCUUUUCAAUCUCUUUUUAGUUUUUUCAAUUUCUGGAUCAAUCUGGAAUUCAACAAGUUUGUACUUACUCAUGCAAGGGUUGCUAGAGCAAUUCUGUCAACAUAGUAAAUAAAUUAAAAGAAAACUAAAAAUUGGCAUCGACUAAAAUUGAUUUCACAAAUCACAAUAAACAUUCAAUCCCCAGCAACUGUACCAAAAUCUUGUUAGUUGUUUAUUCUUUAGGUGUCAAUGUGCAAGUAUACAAAACAAAUAAUAUAAUGAUGACUAUUCAUAUCAUCUUUACAGGGAUUGAUGUUAUAUGACUUGUUAUAGUAAUCUUAACAGUGCAAAUUCAGUCUAAUUAAAAUAAAAUAAUGAAUGGAAUUAUUAACCUAACUAAAUUGAAAAUGCAAUAAGCUUGUUUAACACCCAACUACAUCAAAGUUUAGUUUAUGAUAUGCGAUAAAACUGUAACAGUACUCGUUGUUGCCAUCAAAUACAUUCUCAUAGAGUGAAAAAAAAAAAGAAAAUAAAGAUGAGGAAUUGAGUUCAGCUAGGCUAUUGCAAUCACUCCUUUUUUUUCUUCUGGAAUCUCCUGCUGCAACCCUCGUAUCCCUUAUUCUCUUUUUUCUUUUUUUUCUCUAUUAUUUUUUUAAGUGACGGUUCUCCCUUUUCUUUUUCACGUGUUCUCUUCUUAUAUCUUGAAAUUAGGGCAACCAAAAGCACAUGGUCACGUGUUUCUUUUUCGAAAACCCCAGAUCGCGUAUCUUUUUAUGCGGGCCGUCGUUGCUUUGACAGUUAACACGCACGUAAUCUUGUUUGCAGUUGCUCCUAAAUUGCUGCAACAAUGGCUACAACAUCUUCUCUGAUUAAAACUUAUUUUAAUUCAUCGGUAGACAAAUUCUUUGUCAUCUCUGCAAGUCUGCUGCUGUAGCAUGCCAUCCAUAAAACUUGAGCUUUUUGAUCACCUACAAUCAUGCACAUAAUCAAAGAACAAAGUGAUCUAAAUAAAAUCAAUUUACUAAAAAUAAGCUUAAACGGAUGCUCAUGUAAAAUGUAACAAAAAAUGCAAUAAAAAAAUCAUUCACUCUCUAAGUAAUAUUAGUUUAAGUCUAAAAAUGUCAUAAUAACUCUCUUGGGUGUCCACAACAGUCAUGCUACAAUAUAAAUAUUUUUGACUAAAUGAACUUGUUAUGGCGUUGCUUUUAAUUAUAAUAAACCCAAUUAAGAAGGAUUUACAGCUUCUUUUUUAUGUAUUCAAUGCCUUUAUUGUAUUUAUAUUUUAAUCUCAAUAUGAUAUCCAUUUUGGUAGACUUUAAAUGCAAAUUUCUUCUGGAUCUGACUAAAUAUAAGGCAUUCGAAAUACAUAAUUUUCUUUUUGCUUGGUAACAAGAUCAUAUUUCUUUUGGGGAAUUCAAUUGAUUAUAUACUCUUCUGGAGUAUUCAAUCUGGUCCGCAAGACCAAAUAUAAUGUGUACUUUUGCUUUAAACAAUUAUAAACAAACUAUAUUAACAGAAUAAUAACAAUAAAGACUAUAUUACAAAACCAGCCAUAUAAAAUUAUAAAUCAACAUAGGAAUAAAUCACAAAGAAAUAAAUAUAAAUAAAUGACAAGCAAUAAGAAUUAAACUACUCACUUUAGAAAAUUCCACAUCAUGUGGUUUUCCUAAUAUUUUUAUUGUCAUAAGAAAUUAUGAUUGUUAUAAGAUAAUGUUCUUUUAUCAUAAGUUCCAAUGCUUACAUUCACUUCAAGGAAUGAUAAGCUUUUGACAUGAUUUUAAUGAUUUCUCAUCACCAUUUCAACUGUGAUCGAGUAUCGCUAUAUUAUACUCUUGUGUUUGUAUAGAACUUCAGGUUCUAGCUUUUAAAAUUAAAACAUAGAACUUCAGGUUUUGAUUUUUAAUGAGAUUAGAACUUUAGGUUCUCCCACCUUAUUUGUAUUGUAAACUUUAUGCUAUAACAAUAAUAUUUAAAAAUAGAUGCAAAACAUAUCUCAAUUUAUUAAAAUUAAAAUAACUUAAUAGAAGGUUAAACCAAACAUAUUAACAUAAUAAUAACAUAAUAAUACUAAAAAAAUAAAAUUUAUAUACUAAGCAUAGAACUACAAGUUCUAUAAUGUUAAAACUUCAAGUUCAUAUACAUAUAUAUACAAUCGUUUCAGAUCCACAUAUCUUAGAAUCAAAAUUUCUAGGUCAUGUAUAUACGUUGUAGAAUUAGAACUUCAGGUUCUAAUCUAAUAAUUUGAAACUUUAGGUCCUAAUUUAAAUUUUAAAACUUCAAGUUCCAAAGGUUAAUUAUGAUAACAUCAGGUUAUUAUAAGCACCUUUGUUACAAACAUCAUCCAAUAAUACAAUUAUCAUAAAUAAAAUUAAAAACAAAUGAGCUGUACGAUAAUUUAAAGGGUGAAUUUCAUCUUACUCCCUUAUUAGAUUAACAUACUUUAAUUUGCCCCCUAAAAGUAUGAAAACUUCAACUUACCCUUCAAUUGUCUUUAUUUUUAACAGUUGACUGAUGUUGAUUGAUUAAAAUAUAAGAAUGCUCCUAAUCCUAACUAACUAAUAUUUUUAUGGGGGUUAACAAGGAUAAUUAUAUUUCACCCCUUGAGGUUUGACAUCUUUCAAGUUAGAUGACAAAAAUAAAUUUAUUAAUAAAACCCCUAUAAAAAAAAUUAAAUACAAAUUAUCUGUAUCAUGAUUUAAAGGGUGAAUUUCAUCUUACUCCCUUAUUAGAUUAAUAUACUUUAAUUUGUCCCCUAAAAGUAUGAAAACUUCAACUUACCUCCCAAAUAUCGUUAUUUUUAACAGUUGACUGAUUAAAAUAUAAGAAUGCCCCUAAUCCUAACUAACUGUUUUGUGGGGUUAAUAAAGAUAAUUUCAUUUCACCCCUUGAGGUUUGACAUAUUUCAAGUUAGAUGACAAAAAUAAAUUUAUUAAUAAAACCCCUAUAACAAAAAUUAGUAACAGGCCUUUAAAAAAUAAAAUUAAUUUUUACUUAUAUUUUGAUUUAUAAAACAUAAAUAUGAUUUCGUAUGCAAGUAUAACAUCUCAUGCCCAAAAAAAUCAAGAGUAGAAAUUUAGAAUUGAACCUCCAGCCAUUGGUACUUGCAAACUAAUGUUUGCUUCUUUUGAUCCUUAUGUAAUCAAUUUUGAUCAUAUAGUUUUUGUAUCAUAUUACAAAGCCUUAGGGACCAAUACCAUUUCCACCAUUUCCUUUUUAUUUCAUCUUUUGAUCAAAGAUGAAACAGCGGGAAAUUGUUUAAGCAGCUGCUAGAUGGCACCAGCUUCUCGAACCGUGGCAAACAAAUUUUUCUUUAGGAGGAUUUUAGACAAGAUGCAAGACAUGUAUCAACAGCCAACAACCACGUGUUUAACACUCUCCCACUUGGUCUAAACAUUUUACUUGAUAUGAAUCAUGGUUAUAAGUCAUCUAAGAACGAGUAUUAUCUUCCAUGCAUUACAAUGCACUAUUUUCCUUAAAUACUAGCCAUAUAUGAUAACUUAAAUUAACGAAUAAACCCCAUGUUCGUUCUAGAUCUUACAAAAAAAUAUUUUUUUCUCAUAAUAAACAAAUGUGCACAAAAAUAAGAGAAAACAUCACAAUAAGUUAAAACAAGAGUUUCAUUUAUAUUACAUUGUAUUUAUAAUGAAAAUUACAUGAUGGAACCGAGUCUUAUUCAAUCUACAUGAUCCUUAAACUUCUGUAGUGGCAUGCAUUUUGUUAAACAAUCAACAAUUAUCAUUUCAGUGUUAGCGUGUUCAAUGACCACUUUCUUUGCUUUAACAUGUUCCCUAAUGGCCAAAUAUUUAACGUCGAUGUGUUUACUUCCACUUCCACUUUUGUUGUUUUUAGCCAAGAAAACUGCAGUUGAAAUGUCACAAUAUAUCCUUAAUGGUCUUGAGAUCAAAUCUACAAUUCUAAGCCCAGGUACGAAAGUGUUCAUCCAUACACCAUGUGAGGUAGCCUCAAAAUGAACUUAGCUUUCACAAUAGAAGUAGUAGUCAAAGUUUGUUUUAUACUUCUCCAAGAUAUAGCUCCACUAGCAAGUAGAAAAAUAGAUCCAUAUGUUGAUUUUCAUGAAUCAACACAGCCAGCGAAGUCUGAAUCAGUGUAGCCAAAAACCUCCAUAUUAUUAGUUCGUCUAUACAUAAACAUGCAAUCCUUGGUCCCUUAAAGGUGUUAGCCUAAAGAGCUACACAUAUUAUAAUUUUGAUGAUAACAAACAUGUAUUUUAAAUGACAUGAUAAAUAUUAUAUUUCACAUUUUCACUAGUUCUUGAAGGAAAAUAUUUAUGUAAGUGAAUCGAGUGAAAUCAAGCUCAAGACACUCAACAGACAAGGGCUUGAUCAAGAACAAAGUUUAGCUUAACAAAGUCAUUAUCGCGACAAAUUCUUGUAAAGCUUGUAUGAUUUAAUAUAUGCAUUGUUUAACAUUAAAUUAUUACUUUUCAUAAACCAAAAGGUUUUAUAUUUAUAAGACAAAUAUUUUGUGGAUUUGAGUGUUUUUCAAAUUUUAGAUUAAAUUGAAAAAGUUUUGAGAACUUUGAAAUCAAUAAGCAUUAUGGUAACACAAUUAUGAAAAGAACUUCUUUGAAAAGCAUUAUAAAGUUUACGCUAUAUCAUAAUUUUAAAAAGUUUUGGGAAAACAAGCAUUAUUUGAAAAUUCUGAAAUUGGAUCUAUUUACAAAUUUUUAUAACGUUUUGGGUGAUAGUCAAAUUACUGAAAGUUUUGGGCAAAAAAUAAUUUUUAAAAAUAGUGUUACUGUAGUAAAAUUCAAAUUGCAACAGUAUCUUGCACUGCGCUAACGGCGAGCCGGCUAAUUAAGAGGCUAGCCACUUGUUUGCUUGUUUUGUCCAUAACAGCUAAUUUUUGUGUCAAAACUAUAUAAACUCAAAUCCAAUUCAAUUUUAAGAACUUUUGCAAGAAAGAACAAGAGCAUACAUCAUAUUUUGAGCUUCUAUUUCGCAAAUCAUUAUAUAUUAAAUCACCAUUGUACUAUUAUUUGUAUAUCCACUCUAAAAAAGAGUUGUGUGUUGUAAUUUUCAUUUUUUUUAUCAAAUUUGUGAGAAUUUGAGCGUAAGAAACACUUGGGUUAAUAGAUUGAUGGAUAAUCUUUUGUUGUAAAAGUCUACUGACAUUUUGGAAGUUAAUUGUAAGAACUUGAAACCAUGGGAGGCUUGGAUAGCGAAAUCUUCAAGCUUGAAUUGCUUAGAGACGUGAACAUAGGCAGGGAUUGCCGAAUCACGUACAAAUAUUUGUGUUUGCUCUCUCUUCCCUUACUCUUUUUAUUUUUUAGCAUUGUUAAAUUUAUUGUUUUUUAUUUUAUUAAGGCAUUAAAUUAAAUUGUUGUGUGGUUUGCUUAGCUUAAGUUUUAAAAAUCCAAUUCACCCCCCCCCCUUUUAGGUUGUGUAACUAGUAUUUCAGAAGGUACCGAUUACUUUCUUUGCAGCUUUCCAAUGGUCAAAACCUGGAUUACUCUAAUAUCUUCCUAAAAUUCAAACAACAGAUGCAAUUUCAGGUCUUGUAUAGACUUAAGCAUGCAUCAGACUUCCAAUAGCAUAUGCGUAUGGAAUAUUUUUCAUUUGUUCCCUUUCAAAAUCAUUUUUCAGCCAUUGGUUCAAAUUGAACCUAUCACCCUUCACAAUGGGAGCUAUACUUGGCGAACAAUUUUUCAUUUGAAAUCUCUCCAAGACUUUAUUGAUAUAAGUUUUUUAAGACAGACCCAAAAUUCCUUGAAAUCUAUCUUUAUAGAUCUUAAUGCCUAUAACAUAAGAUGCAUCACCCAUAUCCUCCAUGUCAAAAUUCUCAAUGAGAAAUUGUUUCACCUCACAGCUGUUGGAGAAUUUUGAAAAUCAAACACUAGUUUAUUUCUUCAACAACAUUCCUCAACCACAACUCUUACUUUUAACUCUCUCUAACUUAGAAGCUUUGUUGCUUCACUUGAUGCUUAAGCUAAAUACAUUAGGGCCAUUUAUACAUGUUACAAAUCAAUCAAAAUUAUUCAUUUAUUCAAAUACAAAAUAAAUCCUAACCAUUCAUCAAAACUUACCACUCAUUUACUUCACCAACCACACCUACUACAAGAAACUUCUAUGAAAUGGGCUUAGGUUUCUUAAAUUUGGAUCAAGUUUAUGAUCCAAUACCCCUCCUUAAACUUCAUCCUGUGACACUAAGCAAAUUUCUUAAUUUUACAAAGUCUUCUUGCUUGAGCGGCUUGGUGAAAAUAUCAGCUAGUUGAUCUUGUGAUUUCAUAUACUUGACUUGCAUUUCUUUUCUUGUAAUACACUCUCAUAUGAAAUAGUAGUGAAUAUUUAUAUGUUUCCUUCAAUCAUGAAAGACAAGAUUCCUGGAUAGGGCAACUGAUGGUAUAAAUCUCUGUUGGCUCUUAUUGUGGCAAACCUAACUCCUUCAGCAAAUUUAUAAGCUAAAUUGCAUGGCAAAUACUUGAUGUAGCAAUUGCGUACUCAGCUUCACAAAUGAAAAGUAUGAUAAUUGGUUGCUUCUUUUACAUCCAUAUAAAAGCAAUAUCUCCCAUGAAUAACACAAUCAUGUGGUGCUCUUUCAAUCAUCUACGUCGCCACCCCAAUCAUUAUCUCUAUAUCCAACAAGCUUGUAGUCAAUAGAAAAUGAGUAUAACAAGAUGAAAUUCAUUGUAUCUUUGAUGUAGUCAAUGAUUCUUUUUGUAACUUUAAAAUGAGUGGUCUUCAGAUUCUCCAUGUAUCGACUCACAAAUCCAACAACAUAAAGGAUAUUUGGUCUCGUGCAUGUCAAAUAACGUAAGCUUCAAACCAAACUCUUAAAGAAUAUUGGAUCUACAUCUUUGGCUUCAUCAUGUUUGGAUAACUUUACUUCGCAUUCCACUGGCGUGCUUAUAGGCUUACAAUCAUUCGUAUUGAACUUCUUCUUUUUUUUUCAUAUCUUUCUUGGGAGAUAAAUAUGCCUUCAAUACUGAUGUAAGUCUUAUCGAACUCUUUAAUCAUUACUUUUUUGAACUCCUAAAAUAAGCUUGGAUUACUUCUAAUGAAGAUGAGGUCAUCCACGUAUAGACACACAAUCAGAAUUUCUUUAUCUUUUUCUUUGAAGUAGAGAGCAUGUUCAUAUGAUCAUUGGGUGAAGCUGUUCUCUUAAAAAUACUUGUCAAUUCUACUAUUCCAUGCCCUGGGUGCUUGCUUUAACCCAUAAAAAGUUUUCUUUAAUCUCAAAAUUUUAUCUUCAUAUCAUUUCACUACAUAGCCUAAUGGUUGUUUGAUAUAAAGCUCUCCUUUGAGGAAUCCAUUCAAGAAAGCAGACUUCAACAUCUAUUUGAAAAAUCUUCCAUUUUUCCUAAGCAGUCUAAGAAAUAAUAAGUCUAAUAGUUUCAAGUUAGGUUACAGAAGUAAAUACCUCAUCGUAGUCUACGCAACUUGUCUUAUAUUGUGCCUUUCAAUUUCUCCCUUCACAUUUCUCUUUGCUUUGUACUCUCAUUUGACACUAAUCACCUCGUGACCUUUGGGAAGAGUAGUAAGUUCCCAAAGUGUUAUUCUUCACAAUAUCUUUGAUUUCUUUAUCUAUUUUUUUUCUUCACUUCUCAUAUUGUGCAACUUUUUAGAAGUUGAUUGGCUCACAAUCAGUAAAGAGGUAAAAAUCUCUCAGUUACCUCGUACUUGCUUCCCUUUAAUUGUGGAAUUUAGAAUGACAUCAUUCCAUCAUUUGCCAUAAUUCAUAAAUUGAGUGAGAAUUUAAAGAUUCUGAAUACUCGGAUGGAUCUAGAACGUCAAAAAACCUAUGGAGGAAUUUGGGUCAACUUUCAGUCAACAAUCAAUGAUCAAUGGUCAAUGGUCAACAACGAUCAACGAGCAAUACUGGUCAGCGUUCAACGGUUCAGUUGACUGGACUCGGUUUUGUCUCGGUUUAGUUCAGCUCAGUUUGGUUUGGUUUGAAACAGUGCGGUUCAUUUCGGUUCAACUUAGUUCAACUCGAUGAGUCAACUCAGUUCCAAGGUAAAAAAAUUUUGGCAGCGAUUACGGCGGGCCCCAGACUCCGAUCGGGAUGAGCUCUUUAAAUUGAUAUGCUACACUGCUAAGUCGAGCAUCGAUUACGAGCUUUGAUACCACUUUGUUGGAGAAUUUUGAAAAUUAAACACUCAAUUAGUUUAUUUCUUCAACUACAACUCUUAUUUUAACUCUCUAUAACUUAGUAGCUUUGUUGCUUCACUUGAUAUUUUAACUAUAUACAUGAGGAGUAUUUAUAUAUGUUACAAAUCAAUCACAACCAUUCAUUCAAAUACAAAACAAAUUCUAACUAUUCAUCAAUGAUGAGAACAUCAAGGGAAUACCAUUAAAGUUUCAAGUGAUCAUUUGCACAUUCAUGGAGGUCCAAUUACAGAGCUAAAGCAAAAAAUAUGCAAGCUAUUUUAAAUGGAUUAAUUGAGAAAAUAUGAACUGAAAAUGCAAUUCAAGAUGCAAGACGUGAUGAAUUGGGCUUGGAAAGAAGACAAAGUAUUGUGGGCAUUAUUCAAGUUGUUGGGCAGCCAAAUACAUAAUUUGGAUCAAAUGCAGAAAGGGUAAAUUCGGACUAAAAUUGGUAUUGAUUGAGCUGGAACUAAUAUGCAAGCUAUAUAACGUUGGAAAGAAAAUUAAGUUAACUUUCUAAUGUAAUUAAAGAGCUGGAUUUGGAGUUCUCUAGAAGAUGUUAUGACCAAUUUAUUACAGCAUGUUCAAGCUUGGAAAUUCCAACCACUCCUUUGUGUGGACUAAAAUGAUGAAUCAAAAACCUAGGCUUAUUGAACGACAUCAUUUGGGGUAUGUUUAAUUAGCUCAGGGAGUCACGGCCUUAGCAUAUGGCUGACUAAAGAUCAAAACGGCAAGAGAUUAAGAUAUUCUGGCUGUGGUUUAAGUGAAGCAUGUGAUCGAGCGCUUGAGAGGGAAUUAAGUUAGUUAAAGAAGAUGUUAUCCAAAUGGAAAACAUCUAUGCAUUUUGGGUUUCAUAUCAGCUGGUAUAUAAAUUGAUCAGUAGAGUAGUUUCUUGAUUGAUCAUGGAGCAUUUUAGAGAGAGUUUAAAGAGAGAGAAAGAGUCAUCUUGUUCUUUGUAAUCAACUCUUGUGUUGCUCUGUAAAAUUCAGAAGAAUCAUCAAUAAACCUCAUUCUGAUGGCUUCUUCCGUAGAUGUAGAUUGUGCAUACUUGCACAAUCGAACCGUGUAAAUCUUUCUUUGUUUUCUGUGCUUGAUUAAGUCUUACUUCUUGUUGGUUUAUAUUAUGUUUAUAGUCAUUUUCAUCACAAAGCUUUCUUAACUUUUAAAGUUGAUUGUUGGAUUCAAAACAUCUUUGUUUGAUCUGGUUUGUGAUCUUAGGCAGUGAUUGACACUUGGUAUCAAAGCUUGGUUAACAAAUCAAGAUCCAAGUAUGGCAACUCCAAAGAUCGAUCUUGAAAAGUUUAAUUGAAAAAUGACUUUAACAUGUGGAAAGUGAAAAUGGAAGCGUUGCUGGUUACACAAGGCCUCGGUGAUGCAAUUCAACCAGUAACUAAGAAAUAAGGUAAAUAGAUCUCUUCAUCAAAGACUCAUGAACAAGCUGCUGAGAUUGAUAGAAGGGUUGGAGUAACCAUAAUCUUGAGUCUUGCAAAGUCUGUCAUAUGGGAGGUGGCAAAAGAACCCAUUGUUGUUGAUUUGUGGGCCAAAUUAGAGAGUAUCUGCAUGAAAAAAUCCCUUGCAAAUAGACUAUAUAUAAAGAAGAGGACAUUCACAUUAAAAAUGGUGGAGGGCACAUCCCUAAAUGACCAUCUCGAUGAGUUCAAUAAAGCAUGUAACACUUUGGAAACUAUUGAUGCAGCCCUUGAUGAUGAAGAUAAAACUCUUCUAUUAAUACGCUCCUUACCAAAAUCCUAUGAGCAUUUUGUUGAUGCCUUGAUGUAUGGAAGGCAGACAUUGUCUCUAAAUGAAGUUAAAUCAGCUUUCAACACAAAGGAACUGCAUGGUAAACAAGAUCAUCUAGGAAAUGUAUCAGGUGAAGGAUUAAUAGCAAAAACAAAACUAGAAGAGAAGAAAAAUAAGCAAGGAAUAACAAAGAAAAGCCAAAGAAUUUGAAGUGUUUUCUAUGUCACAACGACUAACACUUCAAGAAAGAUUUUCUAGAGAAGAAGCUUAAGAAGAAAGGUUAGAAUGGAGGUGCAGCUGUAGCUAAGGAAGAAGGCUAUGAGUCUGCUGGAGUAUGCAUUGCAACAGAUAGCAAAGACAAAGGUAAAUGGGCUCUUGACUCGGCCACAUAGCCCAUAUAAGAGUUACUUUACUGAAUAUCAUGAUUAUAAUGGUGGUAGAGUGAUGAUGGGGAAUAAUUAUGUGUGUAAAAUCAUGGGAAUUGGCAAUGUCAAUCUGAAGCUACAUGAUAGAACCACUAGAGAGCUUAAACAAGUCAGGUAUGUACCUGAGUUGAAAAGAAAUUUGAUUUCUUUAGGAAUGCUUGAUCAAAUGGGGUAUAGUGUUGAGAUUGAAUUAGGGGAAUUGAAAAUCGUCAAGGACUCACAUGUUGUUAUAAAAUGUAGCAGGAAAAAUGGGGUGUCCAUCUUAUAUAGGUAUGUGGUUAAUGGUGAAGCUGGAGUGUCAUCAAUUGAUGAUAUUGACAAAACCAAGCUAUGGCAUCUAAAGUUAGGACACAUAGGAGAAACGGGUCUUAAAGAACUUGAAAAACAAGGUGCAUUAGGGAAUGAUAAGCUGGGUAACUUGGAUUUCUACGAAGAUUAUGUACUAGGCAAAUCUACAAGGGCUAGUUUUAAAAGAUCAAUACAUAAGUCCAAGAAUAAAUUGGAGUAUGUUCAUUUUGAUUUGUGGGGGCCUGCUCAACAGAUAUCUCUAAGUGGUAACAGUUGCUUCUUAUCAAUCACUGAUGAUUUUUCUAAAAAGGUAUGGGUCUAUAUCUUGUAGAACAAAGAUAAAGUAUUUGAUAAGUUCAUAAAGUAGAAGAGUUUGGUUAAGAAUAAGACUGGAAGGAAGGUAAAAAGACUUCAAACAGACAAUGGCUUAGAGUUUUAUAAUCAGAAAUUUGACAGUUAUUGUAUAGAAGAGGAGAUUAUGAGACACAGAACUGUUAAACUGACACCUCAAUAGAAUGGCUUGGCAGAAAGGAUGAACAGGACACUCAUAGAGAGAGUGAGGUGCAUGUUUGCUCAAACAAAGCUUCUCAAGGCUCUGUGGGCAAAAAUACUCUUAACAACGUGUCAUUUGGUCAACUUUAGUCCAUCUUCAGCCAUAGAUUUCAAGACGCCUUAUGAGAAAUAGACUGGUCAGCCAGCAAACUAUGGAGAUCUAAAAGCUUUAGGUUGUACAACCUAUGCUCAUAUAAGCCAGGGAAAGCUAGCUCCCAAGGCUUUAAAGGGCAUCUUCAUAGGAUAUCCAGAAGAGAUGAAAGGUUAUAAAAUCUGGUGUACAGAUGUCAACCCUCUGAAAUGCAUAAUUAGCAGGGGUGUGAUAUUCAAUAAAGAAGAAUUGAUAAGCAAGAAGUCUAUUCAAAUAGAGUUUUAAGUUGAUUCCAAGAUGUCAUAUGGACAUCAAAUUGAGGUGGAGCUACCAAACCAUUAUGAUACACAUGAAGCUGCAGAUUCAGGUAAUAUCAAUGAUGAGACAGAAGCUCAAGAUUUCCCUCAACCAGAAUAAGAAUCACAAGCUCAGGGUUACCAGCUAACUAGAGAUAGAACAAAAAGGCAAACCAGACCACCUAGAAGAUAUAGAUAUGCUAGUCUUAUCACAUAUGCCUUGGAAGCUACACAUGAAAUUGAUGAUAAGGAACCAAAGACCUUCAAAGAAGCAACCCAGAGCAAGUUCAAAACUGAAUGGAAAGAGGCUAUGGAUGAUAAAAUCUUAUCCUUGUACAAUAAUGAGACCUGGAAACUAGUUGAAAGACCAGUAAAUAAAAGAAUAAUGGGCUGCAAGUGGAUUUUCAAAAUCAAUGAAGGCUUUACAAGCCCAGAACCAAAGAGAUUUAAAGCAAGGCUUGUGGCAAAGGGGUAUACACAGAAUGAGGGGGUUGACUUCAAGGAAGUAUUCUCUCCUAUUGUCAGGCAUGCUUUAAUAAGAGUGAUUCUGUCACUUACAGCAGUUCAAGACAUGGAGCUUUAUCAACUUGAUAUUAAGACUCUUUUUUACAUGGAAGACUUCAAAAAAAGAUAUCCAUAACUCAACCUGAUGAGUAAGAAGAUCCUAAUAAGCCUAGACAUAUGUGUUUGCUUAAGAAAUCUCUUUAUAAAUUAAAACAAUCCCCUAAACAAUUGUAUCUCGGAUUUGAUGAAUUCAUGGUGACACAUGGAUUCAUGAGAUACAAUUAUGAUUGUUGUAUGUAUUAGAAGUAGUUGAAGGAUGAUCUCUACAUAUAUCUCCUCCUAUAUGUAAAUGACAUGCUGAUAGCCUGUAAAGAAAGGGAAGAAAUAGAAGAUUUAAAGCGUAUCCUAAACUCUGAGUUUGACAUAAAGAGUUUGGGCAUUGCAAAGAAAAUUUUCGAGUUGGAAAUUGAAAAAAAAAUAGAAUAUGUAGUCUUAUGUUUUUGUCAUAGAAGAAAUAUUUGACCAGGGUACUUGACAUAUACAAGAUGUUGAACUCUAAACCAGUGUUAACUCCCUUUGCAGCUCACUUCAGGCUUAGUAACUUGCAAUUUUUAAAAACAAGUGAAGAGAAGCUGGAAAUGGAAAAUGUACCUUAUGCAAAUGCAGUAGGAUGCCUUAAGUAUGUCAUGAUCUUGACAAGACUAAACAUAUAAUAUGAUGUUAGUGUUGUGAGCAGAUAUAUGGCAUCACCUAGUAUGGAGUUUUGGAAAGUAGUAAAACGAAUAAUGAGGUAUCUCUAUAGUAUAUUGAGUUGUGGCCUAGUAUAUGGAAAAAAUAAGGGAAGUUAUGAAGGUUUGCUGGGACUUGUGGAUUCAGAUUAUGCAGGAGAUUUAGACAUGAGGAGAUCCUUAAUUGGUUACAUGUUUUUAUUUAAUGGUUUUCUCAUUAAUUGGAAAGCAACUCUACAACAUGUGGUGGCCUUGUCAACUACAGAGGCAGAAUAGACAGCUGCUACUGAAGCUGUAAAAGAGGCAUUAUGGCUACAAGGAUUAAUGGGAGAACUGGGUGUGAAAUCGAAAAUUGUAACAGUUUAUUGUGACAGCUCAAGUACUUUUCAUUUGUGUAGGAAUCCUGCACAUCAUGAGAGGACAAAGCAUAAAGACAGUAAGCUUCAUUUCAUUCGAAAUGAAGUGUCUAAAUGAGCUAUGAAAAUGUCCAAGGUUCAUACAGAUGAGAACCCUACAAAUAUGCUCACUAAAUUGGUGUCAACGGCUAAGUUCAAGGAGUGCUUGAGCCUAGCUGGCUUGGGUGAUUGCUAGUUACCUGAGAGUUUAGAGAAGGAGAUAAGAUGUGAGGUUUUAAUUCAAGGUGGAGAAAUGUAGACUAAAAUGAUAAAUCCAAAACCUGGGCUUAUUAAACAACAUUGUUUGGGGGUAUGUUUAAUUAGCUCAGGGAGUCAUGGGCUUAACAUGUGGCUAACUAAAGAUCAAAACAUUAAGAGAUGAAGACGUUUUAGCUAUAGUUUAAGUGAACCAUGUAAUCGAGCACGUGAGAAGGAAUCAAGUUAGUUAAAGAAGUUGUUAUCCAGAUAGUAAAAAUAUGUGCAUUCUGGGUUUCAUAUCAGCUGGUAUAUAAGCUAAUCAGCAGAGCAGUUUCUAGAUCGAUCAUGGAGCAUUCUAGAGAGAGUUUUAAGAGAGAGAAAGAGCCAUCUUGUUCUUUGUAAUCAACUCUUGUGUUGCUCUGUAAAAUUCAUAAGAAUCAUUAAUAAAUCUCAUUCUGAUGGCUUCUCCCAUUGAUGUAGAUUGUGCAUACUUGCACAAUCGAACCACGUAAAUCUUUCUUUGUUUUCUAUGCUUGAUUAAGUCUUGCUUCUCGUUUAUUUGUGUUCUGUUCAUAGUCAUUUUCAUCACAAAACUUUCUCAACUCUUAAGGUUAAUUGUUGGAUUCAAAGCAUCUUUGUUUGUUCUGGUUUGUGAUCUUAGGUAAUGAUUGAGUUGCUCAAGUAAUCUUAUAGCACUCUAAUCACUAUACUUUGUUUAUUCAACUUCAUUUAUUUAUUUUGUUUUAAGUUUUUCAAUGUGUUAAGUAAGUCUACCUUCAAUGAUGGUGGGCUAGUUUUAAGUUUGUCAAUGACUAGCAUUAAUAAUGGUGGGUUAGUGAAGAUUUUUAAAACAUCCUUUGACAAACCUAUACUUAAAAGGUUGUUCCAAUGUUUUCAUUUGUACUUUUAGGAUCUUGAGUUUCUAUUAGCCUAUUUAAACUCAGCAACCUUACUAUGUAAGACAAUUAGAUAUUAAUGUUAUAUUGAGUUGGAAAUAUCAUUCUUUCUUUAUUGAUUUUGAGAACUAGUGAACUUAUCAAGAAUUUUUAUUCUUUUGGUGUUCCAAAAUAAACUUAUCACUCACCUUCUCAUCUAAAUCUUGAGUGUGGCGUCAAUAUCCUUUUUUAUACCUCUGGUUUAUAUUUUCUUAAACAUUGAGUUAAGGUUUUGUUAGCCUAAAGGGCUAUACAUAAUGUAAUUUUGAUGAUAACAAACAUAUAUAUUAAGUGAUUUAAUAAAUAUGUAUUUCACAUUUUCACUAGUUUUUAAAGGGUAAUAUUUAUGCAAGUAAAAUCAAGCUCAAGACACUCAACGGACAAUGGCGAAAUCAAGAAUAAAGUUUAGAGCUCAACGGACAAAUUAUUGCGACAAAUUCUUGUAAAGCCGGUAUGAUUUAAUUAAUGCAUGAUUUAACAUUUGAGAAGCUCAAUAGAUUAAUUUAAUUAAUUAUUUUUUAUAAACUAAAAGGUUUUAUAUUUAUAAAAUAAGGUGUUUUGUGGAUGUGAGUAAUUUGGAUUAAAAUGAAAAAGGUUUGUAAUCUUUGAGUUUAAUAAAUAUUAUUUUGAAUUUCGGAGUUGGACGUUUUUACAAACAUUUGAAAUGUUUUGGGCCAUACUAUAAUUUAUGAAUAUUUUGGACUAAAGUGAAAGGUUUUGAGAACUUUGAAAAAUAUAGGUAUUAUGUUGAAAAAGACCUUUUUCAAAAACAAUAAUAUAUUUGGGGCCAUAUCAUAAUUGCAGAAAGUUUUGAGUUGACAAUCAUUAUUAGGAAAUUCUGAAAUUGGAACAAUUUGUAAAGUUUUAGGCCAUAGUAUAAUUAUAGAAAGUUUUUGGCCAAACUAUAAUUUUAGUGAACAGUAUUACUGUAGCAAAAUUCAAAAAUAACGGUAAUAUCACUGUUCAUGAGCAACUAGCCGGAUAAAUCAAGCGGCUAACCGCUUGGUUGCGGGAAUUUGCCUAUAACGGCUAGUUUUCAGACUUUAACUAUAAAAACUCAACUUCAACUUCAUUUUAAGAACUAAUGCAAGCAAAUAUAAGAUCAUAUAACAUAUAUUGAGCUUCCAUUUCGUAAAUCAUCAUUUAUUGAAUCAUUAUUGAGGUAUAAUUUGUUAUCCACUCUUAAAGAGAGUUUCAUUGUUGUGAUUUUCAUUUCUCAUCAAAUUGUGAGUGUACAAGUGUGAGAAACACUUGGGGUGAAGAGAUUGGGGAUAUAAUCUCUUGUUGUAAAGGUCCAUUGACACAUUGGAAGUCAGUUGUAAACAUUUGAAGCCUUGGGAGGCUUGGAUAGUAAAAUCCUCAAGCCGGGUGAGCUUGGAGGCAUGGACGUAGGCGGGGAUAGCCGAACCACGUAAAAAUCUUUGUGUUUGUUUUCUCUUCCUUUACUCUUUUAAUAUUGUGCUUGAUUGAAUUUAUUGUUUUGAUUUGAUUAAGGCAAUAGAUUAAAUUAUUGUGCGAAUUGUAUUGCAUAAAUUUUAAAAUCCCAAUUCACCCCUGACACAACUUAAAAGUAAAUUUUAACUCCGAAGUAUAAGAGUGUCUUGUUGUAUUAUAACUCGGUGAGUCCGAGGUCAAUCCACAGAGAAAAGAUUUAAUUAGUUUAUUUUAUUUUAACUAAAAAUUAAAAUUAAAACUUAAAUAUAAACAACUUAAUUUAAAUGAAACUAUGAAAUUGAACUAGUUAGGGUUAUGGAUUCACUCUUAGAAGUAAAUAAAACUUAAUAAAUUCUUUUUGUUAAUUUUUUAGAUUUAUUACCCAAAAGAUUAAUUAUACAAAUUAUUAUUAUUUUCCCUUUAAUUUUAUGAUGGAUUAAGUAUUUAUUGUGCCAAAAUUUAAUUUGUCUACAAUAAGUCAAAAUACCAUUUCACCAUGCCUUAUAUUAAGAUCUUAAGAAUUUAUUGUGCCAAAUUCAUUUGUUUGUCUACAAUAAAUCAAAUUUUCAAAAUAUAAAACAUGUAUAAAAUUAAAUAGAAAAUAAUUUAAUUUAUAAAAUUAAACAUAGAAUUUGAUUAAAUCAUAUUUAUUUCUUAAGAGUUUCACCUUCCCCUAACUAAUAUUAUUUAGUUAAGCAUAAUUAAAAUAAAAAGAAGUAGUAAAAUUGAAUUACUUAUAAUUAAAAGAAAUAAAAACAACUAAAAUUGGAAAUAAAACUAAUUUUAUUAAUGAAAAUAAUUAUACAAAAUAUUAAAAACAUACCUGGAAAUCAAGAUUACAAGGAGAUGGAGAGAAUUUGAGAAGAAGAGAGUUGUAGAGAGAUGAUUAGAACAUAAAAAUGAGGCCCUAUUUAUAAAAAAAUAAAUUUAUAAUCCAGUGCUUUGCGGUCCAUCAUAGGCUUCAUGCAUGUGCUCCUCACAACCCUUAGAUCAAGAUCCAAUGGCUGGUCAAACUUCAAAAGUCAACAUCACACAUGGCAUCAUUUGACUUGUCCGAUUUGCCCAAAGAACGGUUGAGAUUUGGCGGGUUAAUGGGUGGAUCGGGUCGACCUGAAUACAAAGAUUCGGAUCCUCCAACUUGCUUCACCAACCGUUGCCACGUGGCACAAUCAUGGCCAUUGAAUCAUGAACGGUUGAGAUUUAGUCAAGAUUGCCAGUUAUCCCAUGCACUCAUAUCUAUUGUAAGCUCAUUUCAUCAUCCAAUCAGUGCUCGGUCAACAGGAAAAGUCAACUUUUUUACACAAGCCCAAUUUUAAGCCGAUCUUGACUGAUCUUAAGGUUUUCGGACCUCCGGAAUCCAAAUUUGACCUCCGUUUAUCUGUUUGGAGUCUCGAAGUUCAUGAAAUUAAUAAUUUUCCUAAUAAACACAUAAAAAUACACAAAAUUAAAUAUAUUUAAAACAUAAUUAAUAAUUCAUAAUAUAUUACAUAAACACAAAUAUAAAUUAUAACAUAAGCAUAAAAUAACAUAUUAUCACUUGAUAAUUAAACAAUUUUUAAUACUAAUCAACCCCCCCUCUUGGGUUGCAUAACUUGCAUUUCAGGUUUUUGUUUGGCUUAAAUCUGUUUAGAACUUUCUUGGGAAGUUGAAACUUUAAAUUAAGUGUGGGUUUCAAAGUUUUAUUGCAGGGUUCGCAUCAUUUGGUAUCAGAACUAGUUUCUAAUCAGGUUUGAAUGUUUUAUUUAUUUUGAUUAAAAAAAAACAUACAGCAAAAAAAAAGAUUGCAAAAGGAUUCAAGUCUUCAUACUUUCAUCAAAUCGAAUUUUAGUUAUUCAUUUACCUUGACAUUGUUGACACAUAAUAUCAAUUGUGUUCCUUUGUUUGGUUGUUUUCUUUUCUUCAAUUUCCUUUGUCAUUCUUUGUGUCCUCUUAAUUCAUUUACUUUGGUUAAUGUGCUGGUUUGUCAUAUUUGAUGUGCCACCUGGAUUUUUCUUAUUUUUUUAUUUAAUUCAAUAAAGAACUGAAAGAGAGAAUUAAGUGUGGUAAAAGGCAAAAGUUUAUGAGAUCAUUAGAGGGUAAAAGCUAAUUUGUGUGAUAAAUACAAGGGCUAAGUGACAUAAAAUUGAGUGAAUCAUGUGAGGGAGUGUUGUGAGGUCUUUUUGCUAACAUUCUUUUCAGAUCACAGAUAUGUCAAAAGAUCAAAAAGUUAUAGACUAAUCAAUCAUGCUCAAGCCAUGCAACAACAAUUUGAGCACAUGAAUCUAAUGUUUAGAGAGAUCAGUGACAAAUUGGAGAGGCAAGACACUGCCAUUGUCAAUCUACAAAGGGGGCAACAACCAAUAACUCUUAAUGUAAGAGGUAAUCAAGGGCGUGAUGCCAUGAGAGAAGAAGAUGGCGAUGACCUAGAUAAUUUUGAUGACCAUGCUACCGUUAACAUGCAUGGAAGAUAUGAUAAAAAGCAAGACAUAUAGAUUGUGACUUGGGUAUUAUCAAACUGAAAAUUUCUUUAUUUCAAGAUAAAAAUGAUCCAGAAGCUUAUUUAGAGUGGGUAAAGAAGGUGGAGCUAGUAUUUGAUUGCCACAACUAUUUUGAGAAGAAAAAGGUAAAACUAGCUGCUGUUGAAUUUACCAAUUAUGCUAUUAUUUGGUAGGAUUAGCUUGUUAUGAGUAGGAGAUGAAAUCGUGAAAGACCUAUAGACACUUGGGAGGAGAUGAAGGCCAUUAUGAGAAGGAAAUUUUUUCCUCGUUUUUAUUCUAGGGAGAUGCAUCAAAGACUUCAAAGUCUUACACGAAGUUCCAGAAGUGUGGAACAUUACCACAAGGAGAUGGAAAUAAUCAUGAUUAGAGCCAACAUUAAAGAAGAACAAGAGGCCACUAUGGCUAGAUUUUUACAUGGUUUAAAUCAAGAUAUUGCUAACGUGGUUGACUUGCAGCACUAUGUUGAGUUGGAAAACAUGAUUUACAUGGCCAUGAAAGUAGAACGACAACUGAAAAAGAAGGGUUCCACUAGAACCAAUUUGGUUUCAUCUUCCUCAUGGAAGUCAAAAUUGUCAAAGAUGAAAAGGUUGUUUCAAAGCCUAGGAUUGAGUCAUUCAAGGUUCAUAAAGAGGGAGGCAACCAAAGCAAAGGUAAAUCUGAUUCCCAAUACUCUAGAAAUAUAGAUAUUAAGUGUUUUAAAUGUUUGGGGACAGGUCAUAUUGCAUCUCAAUGCCCAAAUAAGAGAGCAAUGAUCUCAAGGGAUGAUGGUGAUAUUGAAACCGAGAGUGAAUCAGAUGAUGAACCUAUGCCACCUUUAGAGGAUGCUAAUGAUGGUGUUGAGUAUUCUAUUGAUGGUAAAUUAAUGGUUGUUAUGUGUGCUCUCCUCAUGCAAGUAAAAGAAUAUGCAAAGGUACAAUGUGAUAACAUCUUACAUACUAGAUGCCACGUCAAAUAUAAGGUAUGUAGUAUGAUAAUUGAUGGUGGAAGUUGUACUAAUGUAGCUAACACUAGUUUAGUUGAAAAAUUGAACUUGGAAACUUUGAAACAUGCUAGGCCAUAUAAGCUACAAUAGCUGAAGGAUUGUGUAGAAGCUAAAGUAAAUAAACAAGUGUUGGUUUCAUUCUCUAUUUAGAGAUACAAGGAUGAGGUUGUACAUGAUUGAGUACCCAUGCAUGCUGGACGCAUUAUUUUAGGGCGACCUUGACAAUAUAAUAGGUGUGUGACACAUUAUGGUUACUUAAAUAGAUAUUCUUUUGUAAUGAGUAAAAAUCAAAUCACUCUUGUACCUUUAACACCUAGACAAGUGUUAGCCUAAAGGGCUACACAUAAUGUAAUUUUGAUGAUAACAAACAUGUGUCUUAAGUAAAAAUAAUAAAUAUUGUAUUUCACAUUUACACUAGUUUUUGAAGGAUAAUAUUUAUGCAAGUGAAUCAAGUGAAAUCAAGAUUGAAGACACUCAACGGACAACGGCGAAAUCAAGAAUAAAGCUUAGAGCUCAACGGACGAAUUAUUGCGAAAAAUUCUUGUAAAGCCGGUAUGAUUUAAUUGAUGCAUGAUUUAGCAUUUGAGAAGCUCAAGAAAUUAAUUUAAUUAAAUACUUUUCAUAAACUAAAAUAUUUUAUUUUUAUAAAGUAAAGUAUUUUGUGGAUUUAAGUAAAUUGGACUUAAAUGCUAAGAUUUGAAAUCUUUGAUUUUAAUAAGUAUCAAAUUUCGGAGUUGGAUGUUUUUUUCAAACAUUUUAAAUAUUUUGGGCCAUACUAUAAUUUAUGAAUAUUUUGAACUAAAGUGAAAGAUUUUGAGAACUUUGAAAAAUAUGGGUAUUAUGUUGAAAAGGACCUUUGUGCGAAACAAUAAAAUCUUUGGGGUCAUAUCAUAAUUUUAAAAAGUUUGGGAAAGACACUAUUCUUGAGAAGUUCUGAAAUUGGACCUAUUUGCAAAUUUUUCUGACGUUUUGGGCCAUAUUAUAAUUAUAGAAAGUUUUGGGCCAAAGUGUAAUUUCAAUGAACAGUGUUACUGUAGCAAAUUCAAAAAUAACGGUAAUAUUACUGUUCCUGAGCGGCUAGCCGGAUAAAUCAAGCGGCUAACUGCUUGAGCGCUGGAAUUUGCCUAUAACGGCUAGUUUUUGGGCUUCCACUAUAAAAACUCAACUCAAACUUCAUUUUAAGCACCAAUACAUGCAAAUAUAAGAUCAUACAACAUAUAUUGAGCUUCCAAAACGCAAAUCAUUAUUGAUUGAAUCAUUGUUGAGCUAUUAGUUGCAUAUCAACUCUUAAAGAGAGUUUUUGUUGUAAUUUUCAUUCCUUACCAAAUUGUGAGUGUUUAAGUGUGGGAAACACUUGGGGUGAAGAGAUUGGGGAGAUAAUCUCUUGGUUGUAAAGGUUCAUUGACACCUUGGAAGUCAAUUUUAAAAACUUGAAGCCUUGGGAGGCUUAGAUAGUGAAAUCCUCGAGCUCGGUUGGCUUGGAGGCGUGGACGUAGGCGGGGAUUGCCGAACCACGUAAAAAUCCGCGUGUUUGUUUUUCUCUUCCCUUGCUCUUUUUAUUUUUACGCUUGCUUGAAUUUAUUGUUCUCUAUUUCAUUAAGGCGUUAGAUUGAUUUAUUGUGCGAAUCGUAUUGCAUUAUUUUUAAAAACCCAAUUCACCCCCCUCUUGGGUUGCGUUACUUGCAUUUCAUUUGGUAUCAGAGCUUGGUUCUCUUGUUAGGACUUAAUCGUCUAGAGUAAAAGAUCCAUGGCAACCCAAAAUGAUUCAACCUUUAGGGAAGGACAAUCCACAACUAGGCCACCGUUCUUUGACGGAAAUGACUACCCGUAUUGGAAAACUAGGAUGAGAAUUUAUUUACAAGCAUUAGAUUAUGAAAUUUGGGAAGUUGUAUGUGAUGGUCCAUUCAUGCCUUUGACUAAAAAUGAAAUUGGGGAAGACAUUCCAAAACCUUCACGGGAAUGGAAUGAAUUGGAAAAGAGAAAAGCCUCUCUAAAUUCCAAAGCCAUGAAUGCCUUGUUUUGUGCACUCGAUAAGAAAGAGUUUCAUAGAGUGUCUAGUUGUGAAAGUGCUAAUGAAAUUUGGCACAAACUUGAAGUUGUUUAUGAAGGCACGAAUCAAGUGAAAGAGUCUAAAAUUAGUAGGUACACUCGACAAUAUGAAUUGUUCCAAAUGGAACAAAAUGAGAGUGUGUAUUCUAUGUAUACUAGAUUUACAGAUAUAGUAAACACUCUAGGAGCCCUAGGAAAGACUUUUUCAAAUAGCGAGAAAGUUAAGAAAAUCAUUAGGUCAUUACCUAAGGAAUGGAGACCAAAAAGGACUGCCAUUGAGGAAGCUAAAGAUUUGAAUAUCUUACCUAUUGAUGAUUUAAUUGGUUCUCUUAUUUCUUAUGAGGAAGAUUUGGCAGCUGAAAGAGGAAAUGAGGAAAGGAAGAAAAACAUUGCUCUCAAAGUCACCAAAUAUGAGAGUGAUGGGGAAAGUGAGCCGGAUGAUGAGGAGUUGGCUAUGCUAGCAAGGAGGUUCAGAAAAUUUUUCAAGAAAACUGGUGACCGAAGAAAAUUCAGAAAUUUCAAAAACCAAAAGGAGAAGAAAGAGGCAAUCAUAUGCUAUGAAUGCAAGAAGCCCGGCCAUAUAAGAUCGGAAUGCCCACUUCUCAACAAACUCAAGAAGAAAGCUAUGGUUGCUACUUGGGAUGAUAGCGAUGAAGAUUCAAGUGAUGAAGAUGAGUCGCAAGAAGUUUCAAACCUAGCACUUAUGGCACUAGGAGAUGAUGAUGAUCUCAAUGAGGUAAGUGGUCCAACCUAUGAUGAAUUGUAUGAUGCUUUUAAAGAAAUGCAUGAUGAGUUGAUGAAAAUUGGUAAAAAGAAUGCAUGCCUUAAAAAGAAAUUGCUAGAAUCUACAAAUGAAAAGGAUGCCAUGCAAAAAUGCAAUGAGUCAUUGAAUGAGAAGAUUAAAGGAUUAGAAUUAGAGAAUAAAACCUUGCAUAAUAGAGUUGCAUUAUCAAGUGAAAAAUCUAGUACUUCACAUGAGCAUUUAGAGUCACAUGUAGAUGAUUUGAAAAAGGAAAAUGAAAUGCUCAAGAAAAAGAAUAUUGAACUUAGUAAAGUUGUUCUAAAAUUUACAAAUGGGCAAAAGAUGUUGGAUAAUAUGCUUAACUCCCAAAAAUGUGUUUUUGAUAAAGGAGGACUUGGAUAUAAGCCUAAUUUGAAGCAAAAGUAUUAUAAGAAUUAUUUUGUUAAAGCUACCUCCACAAAUGAUCAUAAGAUUGUUUGUCAUUAUUGUAAUCAAAAUGGUCACAUGAAAUAUAGAUGUCCCGUAAAAAGGAAUGCAUAUAAUGGUGUCAAAUGUGUGUGGGUUCCAAAAGGAACCGUUGCUAACGAUCAAGGACCCAAAAAGGUUUGGGUACCUAAAACAUAAAAUUUCCUUUACAGGGCUUGAAGAAAAAGAAGAAUAAAUGGUACUUGGAUAGCGGAUGUUCUAGGCAUAUGACCGGAAACUAUGCAUGGUUCUCAAGUUUCACCAAAAUCGAAAAUGGUGGAGAUGUAUCCUUUGGAGAUAACUCAAAAGGAAAAAUUCUCGGAAUUGGAAAUGUUGGUAAAAUUUCUUCAACUCUAAUUGAAAAUGUGUGUUUGGUUGAAAAUUUGAAACACAAUUUGAUUAGCAUUAGUCAACUAUGUGACAAAGGUUAUAAAGUUGUUUUUGAUAAAUCAAGAUGUGUUAUUGAGAAUGCAUGUGAUGGAAAAAUUUUGUUUAUGGGAAAUAGAUGUGGCAAUGUUUACACAAUUGAUAUAGAGUGUGCAUCUACUCAUGAUAAAUGUUUUUCGGCAUUGCAUGAUGAUGGUUGGUUAUGGCAUAGAAGACUAGGACAUGCUAGCAUGGAUUUAAUUUCAAAAAUUUCGAAAAACGAUUUAGUUAAAGGUCUUCCAAAAAUUAGUUUUCAAAAGGAUAGAAUUUGUGAAGCAUGUCAAUUUGGAAAACAAAUCAAAAUCUCUUUCAAAAACAAGAAUCAUAUUUCUACUUUAAAACCUCUUCAAUUACUUCACAUAGAUUUGUUUGGACCUUCUAGAUAUGCUAGUUUGAGUGGCAAAUUUUAUGCAUUUGUAAUUGUAGAUGAUUAUUCUAGAUACACAUGGGUAUUAUUCUUAGCUAAUAAGGAUGAUGCCAUUGAUGCAUUUAGAAUUUUCUGUAAAAAGGUUCAAAAUGAAAAGGGUUAUUCUAUUACUUGUAUUAGAAGUGAUCAUGGUGGAGAGUUUGAAAAUCAUGCAUUUGAAAAUUUUUGUAAUGAUUUUGGCAUUGAGCAUCAAUUUUCAUCACCUAGGACUCCACAACAAAAUGGAGUUGUUGAGAGAAAGAAUAGGUCUAUUCAAGAAAUGGCUAGGACCAUGUUAAAUGAAAAUGCAUUACCAAAAUAUUUUUGGGCCGAAGCCGUCAACACCGCUUGUUAUGUUUUAAAUCGGGUGUUGAUUAGACCUCAUCUCAAUAAAACUCCCUAUGAGCUUUGGAAAGAUAGAAAACCCAACAUUGGUUAUUUCAAAGUUUUUGGAUGCAAAUGUUUUGUUUUAAACACAAAAGAUAAUCUUGGUAAAUUUGAUCCAAAAUCUGAUGUUGGCAUCUUUCUCGGGUAUUCAAACUCAAGCAAAGCUUAUAGAGUUUAUAAUAAAAGAACUUUAGUUGUGGAAGAAUCCAUGCAUGUUACGAUUGAUGAAUCUAACCCCUCCUCUGCGGAGAAAGGAGUUGUUAAUGAUGAUGCAGAUGGAGAGUUACAAGAAGAAUCAUCAAAAGAAAAUCAAGGGGAUAGACAAGAAGAACAAACAAAUAUGGAGCUGGAGCAACAAGAAGGUAGUUCUCAAACACUCCCCAAGGAGUGGAGGUAUGUUUCCUCUCAUCCUAAAGAUUUAAUUUUAGGUGAUCCUUCAAGAGGUAUCACAACUAGAUCAUCACUUAGAAACACAUGUGAGCAUGCUGCAUUUAUUUCUCAAAUUGAACCAAAAUCUUUUGCGGAUGCGGAAAAUGAUGAGUUUUGGAUUAUGGCAAUGCAAGAGGAGUUAAAUCAAUUUGAGAGAAAUAAAGUAUGGGAAUUGGUUCCUAAACCGGAACAUCAAUCCAUUAUAGGCACUAAAUGGGUAUUUAGAAAUAAAAUGGAUGAAUCCGGUGUGGUUGUAAGAAAUAAAGCUAGAUUAGUGGCUCAAGGAUACAACCAAGAAGAAGGAAUUGAUUUCGAUGAAACUUUUGCACCUGUAGCUAGAUUAGAAUCCAUUAGGAUGUUGUUAGCAUUUGCAUGUCAUAAAGAUUUUAUUUUAUUUCAAAUGGAUGUCAAGAGUGCUUUCCUAAAUGGUUAUAUUAUGGAGGAAGUUUAUGUAAAACAACCUCCUGGUUUUGAAAAUGAGAAAUUUCCAAAUCAUGUGUAUAAGUUAGCAAAAGCAUUGUAUGGAUUAAAACAAGCACCUAGAGCAUGGUAUGAUAGGCUUAAAAAUUUCUUGUUGGAUAACGGUUUUUCGAUGGGAAGAGCGGAUACUACUCUCUUUAUUAAAAAUAAAAAUCAAGAUAUACUUGUUGUUCAAAUUUAUGUUGAUGAUAUUAUUUUUGGUUCUACUAAUGAAUCUUUGUGCAAAGAAUUUUCCUCUUGUAUGAGUAAGGAAUUUGAGAUGAGCAUGAUGGGAGAAUUGAAGUAUUUUCUUGGACUUCAAAUCAAACAAAACAAUGAGGGGAUUUUCAUCAACCAAGCGAAGUACGUCAAAGACUUGCUCAAGAGAUUUGGUAUUGAUGAAUCAAAUACCAAGAAUACUCCAAUGAGUACAACAAUCAAGCUUGAUAAAGAUGAGAAAGGUAAAGAGGUUGAUAUUAAAAAGUAUCGAGGUAUGAUCGGAUCCUUACUUUACUUAACCGCAAGUAGACCCGAUAUCAUGUUUAGUGUAUGUUUGUGUGCAAGAUUUCAAUCUUGUCCCAAGGAAUCUCAUUUGCUUGCUGUUAAAAGAAUUUUUCGUUAUUUAAGUGGAACCAUAGAUAUUGGCCUUUGGUAUCCUAGAGGAACUCAUAUAGAUUUAACUUGUUUUUCGGAUGCCGAUUUUGCUGGUCACAAGGUCGAUAGAGAGAGUACUAGUGGAACUUGUCAUUUUCUAGGUCAUUCACUUGUUUCAUGGUUUAGUAAGAAACAAAAUUCCGUGGCACUCUCAACUACUGAGGCGGAAUAUAUUGCCGCAGGAAGUUGUUGUGCACAAGCACUUUGGAUGAAACAAACACUUAGAGACUAUGGUAUUAUUCUUGAAAAAAUUCCUAUCAAGUGUGAUAAUACUAGCGCCAUAAAUCUUUCAAAGAAUCCCAUUCAACAUUCUAGGACCAAGCAUAUAGAGAUUAGACAUCAUUUCUUGAGAGAUCAUGUUCAAAAAGGUGAUAUUGCAUUAGAAUUUAUCUCUACGGAAAAACAACUUGCCGAUAUUUUUACAAAACCCCUUUGCGAAGAAUAAUUUUCAAAAAUUCGGCAUGAACUUGGGAUGAUGAAAUUUUCACAUUAACAUCUCUAUUUAUGUUAUUGAAUCUAUUAAAAUUGUUUGGAAAGAAAAUGAGUCGUUGAAAAUCCCGAGUCUGCGCAUGCUGUAAUGAAUUGGUCAUAACGUUUUCUAGAGAAUUCCAAAUCCAGCACUGUAAAAUUUAUUGGAAAGCUAAUUUAAUUAUCUUUCCAACGGUAUAUAGCUUGCAUGUUAAUUCUCGCUCAAUCAAUACAGUUUUUAUUUCGAAGUUGACAUUUCUGCAUUUUCUUAAGUUUUGAAUGCUUAUAUGCUUCAUGAUUGUAUGCUUGUUGGAUGGAUUAUUUGUUUGAGUUAAUUAUCUUUUGGAUGUUUAAAAUCAUGAAUCAUGCAUUAGAUUGGCUCUUGAGAUGUUUCGGGAUCACAAAAUGGUCACGAAAUUGAUUAAAAUUGGCCGGAAAUUAACUAAGGUGCAGCUGGACAGCAACCAGGCGGCUAGCCGCUUGGUCCAAGCGGCUAGCCGCUUGGUCCAAGCGGCUAACCGCUUGGAAAUGUCCCCCAACCCGAGAGCAAGCAGCUAGCCGCUUGCCCCCAAGCGGCUAGCCGCUUGGUCACGGGUUUGGAUGAUUUUGUUUUGCUUCUUCUUCCUCUUUCGUGAGUUUUCUGCACAUGCUUUCUCUCUCACUCAAAACUGUGAGCAACCCAUCCAUUUUCACCUCCAUUUUCUUUUUUUUUCAUCCAUUUUCAUGCCCAAAUCAACCAUUCAAACUAAUACCCAUGCAUUUCAUCUUCAUUAAACACUUCUCCAUCAUGAUUUCUUCACUUGUUCUUCAUCAUUCCAUCCUCAUUCCAUUCCCGCAUGAAUAGUGCUCUCCAUUUUCUUUCUCAAAUUUCUUCAUCUUUCACUCCUUUUCUUGUUAAAAUCAAUCAUCCAACUCAUUAUUCAUCCAUUACUCCUUCAAUUUUCACUCUCAAAACUUGAUUUCAUCAUCUCUCCACAUAAAACCCAAAAUCAAAAAUUCUCACUCUACCCGUUUCUCUCUCUUCAUUUUUCAAGCAUCCUUUAGCUCUUUUUUAAUCAUAAACUAGCUUCAUUCAUCUCUAGGAUUGAUUCUCUUGCCUCAAACAAAUCCGUUUUACUUAAACUUUGUUAAAACCCGAAAUUGCUUUUAAAGCUCUUUUUUCUUCCAACAAUGGCGGGUGGUGACAAAUCCAAGGGGAAACACGUGGCCAAGAAGCGUAAGGAUGAUCAUGGAGAUUAUUCGGACUUUAUGUUGAUUCAUUUUCCUCGACUCCAACUUCGGAAAAAUUUUCUCGACCAUUUCAAACCAAGGACGGUAAUUACUCCUCAUUUUGUCAAUCUCAAUAAUAUGAAGAAUUUAGAAAUUUGUGAUAAUUCUCUUAAAGAUUUACUUAUUGCUAUGGGAUGGAAGAAUGUGUUGGUCGUUAAUGAUCCUUACUAUGAAAAUUUAGUCAAGGUUUUCUAUUCGAAUAUGGAUACGGAUGUGUCAAAUAGAAUUGUUACUAAUGUUGGGAGAAUUCACAUUGAAUUUGAUGUUGCUUUGCUAAAUUCUAUCCUUGGCACUCCAAAUGAGGGAUUGGAAAUAUAUAGUGCUAGAGCCAAAAAUCAAACAACCUUGGUUUUCUCUUGAAAAUGCCGUUCGAAAAAUUUGUCGACGGCGUGAUUUGUCCACUGCAUUUUGUAACUCACCUUUAAAAUCUCAAGCCUUACCUCUUCAAACUCGAAUCCUUCAUUAUGUUCUCCAUCAUGUGAUUACUCCUAGGGGGGGUCAUGCAGAUGAAGUUAGUCGUUUAGAUGUAGCCACUUUGGACUGCAUUCUAGAGGAGAGGGUGCUAAAUAUUGGAUAUAUUAUUCUUAAUCAUAUGCUUAGUACUCCCAAUUUAGCCAAAAGAUCCCUUCCAUAUGCUAGUAUUAUUACUCGAAUUCUAGAGUAUUUCCAUGUCCCUAUAACCGAGUCAAUCUCCUUGAAUUCGAGGGAAUUAGGCGAUGAUUCAAUCGCUAAUCUGGGUUUUUAUUGGAGGGAUGAUAGCUGGCAUAAAGAUCAAAGAACCAAAAAGGUUACGGAACUUGCUCCUUCAGAUCAUCGUUUCUUUAACGAUGUCCGUCCCCCACACUUGCUUCGUGAUCUUAGUGCUCCAUAUCUCUCACAUCCUCCACCUUCCGAGGGUCCUUCCCACUCUACUUCAGCUGACUCUGAGGAUCCGUUGCAGCAGCUGUUAACUAAAGUGGAUUCACUUUCUGAGCGGCAAGACAGACUCCAGUCUAUGCUUGAAGCUUUUCAACUUCAGUCCAUUUCCGAGCGAGAGCGUCUCUUUGCUCAACAGCAGCAGCUUCUUGAUGGCCAGCAGCAACUUUUUGCAGCCCUUGGAUUUCCAUCCCCAUCCUCUUCCUCACAUCCACCAUCUCCUUAGUACUUUAUUUUAUUUUGUUAUUUGUCACUCUGCACUACAUUUAUUCAUGCAUUGUUGUUUUUUUUUUUUCAUUUGCGGAUGAUAUCUUGUUAUUUGAUUUUCGGAAAUGCUAUAUUUGGAUGAUGUUUUAUGCUUAAUUCUUAUGUGUUGCUUGAUGACUUGGUGGAGUUGUUGGUUUGUUUCUUAAGCUUAUAUGGAAGUGUUUUUAAUUACAUUGUGUAUUUGAAGAUUUGUUCAUUUUUAAGGGGAGACUCUGCCGAAAUUUUUGCUCGCACACAAUUGGUAAUAUCUUUCUUGAAUCAUUUUUUAUGAUCUUUUUUUUCAAUUGCAUGUUUCUAUUUUUUUUAAGAGGGUAAUAAACAUGAUGGGUUUUUUUUUUUUUCUAAUGAUAUUUUGGUUAAAUAUUUUCGGUCUUAGCAUGAAUUACUAGUAAUUUUGAUGAUGAAGGGGGAGAAGUCAUGUAUUUUGAAUAUGAAGACAUGUAAUACAUAUUUUUUGUAUUUCAAGCAUUUAUGCAUGUUUUUGAAAUAUUAAGGGGGAGCUUUCAAAUUAUAUAAAUCAAAUAUUCAGGGGGAGUUUUUGAUUUAUGUGUUUAAUCAUGUAUGCCAUGUAUUAAGGGGAAGUUUAAUAUCAAAAUACAUGAGAUGUUUGUCAUCAUCAAAAAGGGGGAGAUUGUUAGCCUAAAGGGCUACACAUAAUGUAAUUUUGAUGAUAACAAACAUGUGUCUUAAGUAAAAAUAAUAAAUAUUGUAUUUCACAUUUACACUAGUUUUUGAAGGAUAAUAUUUAUGCAAGUGAAUCAAGUGAAAUCAAGAUUGAAGACACUCAACGGACAACGGCGAAAUCAAGAAUAAAGCUUAGAGCUCAACGGACGAAUUAUUGCGAAAAAUUCUUGUAAAGCCGGUAUGAUUUAAUUGAUGCAUGAUUUAGCAUUUGAGAAGCUCAAGAAAUUAAUUUAAUUAAAUACUUUUCAUAAACUAAAAUAUUUUAUUUUUAUAAAGUAAAGUAUUUUGUGGAUUUAAGUAAAUUGGACUUAAAUGCUAAGAUUUGAAAUCUUUGAUUUUAAUAAGUAUCAAAUUUCGGAGUUGGAUGUUUUUUUCAAACAUUUUAAAUAUUUUGGGCCAUACUAUAAUUUAUGAAUAUUUUGAACUAAAGUGAAAGAUUUUGAGAACUUUGAAAAAUAUGGGUAUUAUGUUGAAAAGGACCUUUGUGCGAAACAAUAAAAUCUUUAGGGUCAUAUCAUAAUUUUAAAAAGUUUGGGAAAGACACUAUUCUUGAGAAGUUCUGAAAUUGGACCUAUUUGCAAAUUUUUCUGACAUUUUGGGCCAUAUUAUAAUUAUAGAAAGUUUUGGGCCAAAGUGUAAUUUCAAUGAACAGUGUUACUAUAGCAAAUUCAAAAAUAACGGUAAUAUUACUGUUCCUGAGCGGCUAACCGGAUAAAUCAAGCGGCUAACCGCUUGAGCGCUGGAAUUUGCCUAUAACGGCUAGUUUUUGGGCUUCCACUAUAAAAACUCAACUCAAACUUCAUUUUAAGCACCAAUACAUGCAAAUAUAAGAUCAUACAACAUAUAUUGAGCUUCCAAAACGCAAAUCAUUAUUGAUUGAAUCAUUGUUGAGCUAUUAGUUGCAUAUCAACUCUUAAAGAGAGUUUUUAUUGUAAUUUUCAUUCCUUACCAAAUUGUGAGUGUUUAAGUGUGGGAAACACUUGGGGUGAAGAGAUUGGGGAGAUAAUCUCUUGGUUGUAAAGGUUCAUUGACACCUUGGAAGUCAAUUGUAAAAACUUGAAGCCUUGGGAGGCUUAGAUAGUGAAAUCCUCGAGCUCGGUUGGCUUGGAGGCGUGGACGUAGGCGGGGAUUGCCGAACCACGUAAAAAUCCGCGUGUUUGUUUUUCUCUUCCCUUGCUCUUUUUAUUUUUACGCUUGCUUGAAUUUAUUGUUCUCUAUUUCAUUAAGGCGUUAGAUUGAUUUAUUGUGCGAAUCGUAUUGCAUUAUUUUUAAAAACUCAAUUCACCCCCCUCUUGGGUUGCGUUACUUGCAUUUCAACAAGUGUAUGAGGAUCAAAUGUCAAUACAAAAAGAGAGUGAUACAAAAAAAGAAAAUGAGAGUACAAAAGAAAGAGAGAUUAAGAUAAAAAUAAAUGGAAAGAUAAAAAAAAAUAAGAAUAUUGUUGAGAGAAAAGAAAAGCAGCAAGUGAAUUUGUUUACAAAAGAGAGCGAGGUUAAGAGGGCUUUCUUUUCAAAACAGCCUCUCAUUGUACUUUUGUGCAAAGAGGCUUGUUUACAUACUAAUGAGCUUAACUCUUCUUUGCCUUGUGCUAUUGUGACUUUUUGCAGGACUUUAAAUAUGUGUUUCUAAAUGAAGUUCCUAAUGGUUUGCCACCUAUUAGGAGAAUUGAGCAUCAAAUAGACUUUAUCCUUAGAGCUAACAUUCCUAAUAGGCCCGCCUAUAAAAGUAACCCCGAGGAGACAAAUGAGCUUCAAAGGCAAGUUAAAGAACUUUUGGCAAAGGGAUAUGUGAGAGAGAGCAUGAGUCCAUGUGCGAUACCAGUUCUACUAGUGCCCAAAAAGGAUGAAACAUGUAUGAUGUGCGUUGACUGUCGUGCAAUCAAUAAAACCACCGCAAAAUAUAGACAUCUUAUUCCUAGACAUGAUGAUAUGCUUUAUGAAUUGCAUGGUUCUUGUGUGUUUAGUAAAAUUGACCUUAAAAGUGGAUAUCAUUAGAUUAGAAUUAGAGAGGGACAUGAGUGAAAAACUGCCUGUAAAACAAAAUAUGGUUUAUAUGAGUGGUUAGUGAUGCCAUUUGAGUUAUCUAAUGCUCCUAGCACUUUUAUGAGGUUAAUGAACCAUGUUUUGCGUGCUUUUAUUGGUAAGUUUAUAGUUGUCUAUUUUAAUGAUAUUUUUAUCUAUAGUAAAAGCUUAGAUGAACACAUUGAACAUUUGUAAAGUGUAUUGACUGUUUUAAAGAAGGAAAAGUUGUAUGCUAAUUUAAAGAAAUGUCCUUUUUGUACAAGUCAUAUUGUUUUUCUUGGUUAUGUUGUAAGUGCUAAAGGAAUUAAGGUUGAUGAAGAAAAGGUAAAAGCUAUUAAAAAAUGCCUUACACCCAAAAAUGUAAGUGAGGUAAGAAAUUUUAAUGGUUUGUCUAGUUUUUAUAGAAGAUUUGUGAAAGAUUUUAGCACCCUUGCUGCACCAUUAACUGAAAUUAUGAUGAAACAUGUGGGAUUUAAAUGGAGUAGUGAACAAGAAAGGGCAUUUAAUCUGAUCAAGGAGAAAUUGGUUUCUGCACCAUUACUUGUUUUACCUGAUUUUGCUAAAACUUUUGAAUUGAGUAUGAUGCUUCAGGUAUAGGUAUUGGAGCUGUUUUAAUGCAAGAAGGGUGUCUAAUUGCAUAUUUUAAUGAGAAAUUGAGUGGAGCAACCCUAAACUAUCCUACUUAUAACAAGGAGAUGUAUGUAUUGGUAAGAGCAUUGGAAACUUGGCAGCACUUUCUUCUACCUCAAGAGUUCGUUACAACAAUGGGUGAUUUACAAGAUAUGAGGAAUUUGAACCUCCGAGGAGAAAUACAACUAGUUAAGGCACAAGGAGGUUAAGGUGGUCAGAAUAGGUAGAUUAUUUAUAGGUAACCAGCAAAUAACAACAUUAUCCAUAUGGCAAAUGAUAAAGACAAAGCCAUUAGAGAUCAUGCAAUGGUGACUCCUCAAGCCAUAAACCCUUAAAUAGUUAGACCCGAAGUGUAGGCUAAUAACUUUGAGUUUAAACAAGUGAUGUUUCAGAUGCUUCAAAAAGUGGGGCAAUUUAAUCGACUGGCAUCAGAAGAUCUUCACCUUCAACUUAAGUUAUUUUUUGAAGUAAGUGAUGCUUUCAAGAUUACUAGAGCAUCACAAGAAGCAUUGAGGCUCUUACUUUUCCCAUUUUCUUUAAGGGAUCGAGCUGUCUCUAAAAGGGGAAUAGAUGUAGACAAGGCAAAAAUAGAGGUGAUUGAUUAACUUCCACCAACUACUCCAGUAAAGGGUAUUAUGAGUUUCCUAGAACAUGCUGGGUUCUAUAAAAGAUUCAUUAAGAACUUUUCCAAAAUAGCCAAACCCUUACGCAUGUUGUUGGAACAUGUUAGACCUUUCAAUUUUAAUGAAGGUUGUUGAAAGGCUUUUAUUGAGUUGAACAAAGCUCUUAUUACAGUACCAGUUGUUAUAGCACCAGAUUGGAGUAUGCCUUUUAAAUUGAUGUGUGAUGUUAGUGACCAUUCUGUUAAAACAGUGCUAAGGCAAAUGAAAUGCAAGAUUUUUCACUCCAUUUAUUAUGCCAGCAAGACCUUAGUUAAUGGACAACUAAACUAUACUACCACUGAAAAAGAGUUGGUUGGCAAUUGUUUUUGCAUGUGAUAAAUUCAUAGCUUAUUUUAUUGGCACUAAAGUGACUAUUUCUAUAAAUCGCUCGGCUAUAAAGUAUUUGAUUUCAAAGCAGGAUGCCAAAACAAGAUUGAUUAGGUGGAUCCAAUUGCUACAAAAGUUUGACUUGGAGAUUAUAGACAGAAAAAGCACUGAGAAUCAAGUAGGAUACCAUCUUUCAAAGCUGAAAGCAGAUGAAAGCACUCUAACUAAGGAGGAUAUCACAGAAACAUUUCUUGAUGAGAAACUGUUAAUGUUACAACACUCUCAGAUGUUGCAGCAAUUGGGAUUCCCAUGGUAUGCAAAUUUUGCUAAUUAUUUAGUGAGUGGACUAUUACCAUAUAUUUAAAUUACCAGCAGAAAAAGAAGUUUCUUCAUGUUGUAAAAAGUUAUCAGUAGGAUGAUCCUUACUUAGACAAGAUGUGGUCAGACUAUAUAAUCAGAAUAUGUGUACCAGAUAAAGAAAUUUCAAACAUCCUGUAGUCCUAUCAUGCUGCCGCAUAUGGAGGACACUUUGGAGGGCACAAAACAACAGUAAAAGUCCUUCAAUCAAGUUACCACUGGCCCUUUAUUUUUAAAGAUGCUUAUGAGUUUGUUAAAUGUUGUGACAUGUGUCAAAUAAUAGGAAACAUCUCUCAAACUUUUUUUAUGUAUGGGGGAUAGAUUUUAUGGAACUAUUCCCACCCUCUUUCGGCAAUCUAUACAUCCUAGUAAUUAUAAACUAAGUCUCCAAAUGGAUGGAAGCUGUAACAUUGCUAACUAAUGAUGCCAAGGCAGUGGUGAAGUUCCUUUAAGAGCCAUUAUUAGCAAUGAAGGCACACAUUUUUACAACAGAACAUUUUCUGCGGCAUUGUCUAAAUAUAGAAUCAAGCAUAAGAUUGCUACAACACAUCAUCCACAAACAAGUGGCCAGGCAGAGGUAUCCAAUAGGGAGAUAAAGAAGAUUUUGGAGAAAGUUGUGAACCCUAACAGAAAGGAUUGGUCACAUAGAUUAAAUGAUUCUUUAUGGACUUAUAGAAUAGCCUAUAAAACUCCACUUGGCAUGUCCUCAUACAGAAUUGUUUAUGGAAAAGUUUGUCACUUCCCAUUGGAGCUGGAGCACAAAGCAUACUGGGCAAUCAAGCAAUUGAAUAUGGAUAUGACUGCUGCAACAGAGCAAAGAAAAUUACAACUUUGUGUGCUAGAGAAGUUUAUGCAAGAAUUUAUAAGGAAAAGACCAAACAAUGGCAUGACCAAGGAAUCCAACAAAGGGAACUCAUUCCAGGCAAUCAAGUCUUGCUUUAUAACUCGAGAUUAAAGUUCUUUCUUGAAAAAAUAAAAUCUAGAUGGUCAGGACCUUUCAAGCUUGUUAAAGUACAUCCUCAUGAGACUGUUGAACUUCUACAUGAAAGAACAUGUCAAGAAUUCUAGGUGAAUGGGCAUAGAGUGACAUAUUAUAUAGGAGCUGCUGUGAAUCACCUAAGGGAGGACCUAUUCCUAUGGAAUCCAACAUGAGCAAGCAGGGAUGGUCUAGUUGAAGGACUUAAAAUCAAGCAUUAAUUGGGAGACAACCCAAUGAUUAGAGGAGUUAUUUUAAUUUUUACUUCAACAUUAAGUCUAAUUUUGCAUAUUUUAUUUACGAUUUUUGUUAUUUUAAAUCGAUUAUUUAAUUUUUUUUAAUUUAUUAUAGCAUAUAUAUAUAUAUAUAUAUAUAAGGGCAAAGAAACUGACAUGAGUUGCUACAGCACCACAAGCAAUAUGAUAAUUAGAAAGUUGUUCUCAUCCAACAAGGGAAUUUAUUGCAGUUGCUAUAGCACUGAAUUAAUUGCUGCAGCAUCGAUUUUACCGUUGCAUUGAACAAACUGAGGAAAUUUUUACCGUGGGAGUUUGUCAAGCUAGCAUCAAUAGAUCAUAGUUGCAGCUAAGGAAAGAUUGUGCAAUCCUUAAAUUACUGUGAUAAAUAUCCUUUCCUUUUUAAUUUAGAUUUUUAAAAAAAAAAUUCAAAUAUUCUUUCUAACUUAUCCUUUUAAUUACCUUCCUUUUUCUAUUUUGUCGCCAACUAUAAAUUAGGGAUUUAAUGUAGCGUCUUUCACUCUCACCAUAAUUCUUUCUCUUCCCCUCGAUAACUCUCAGUAUUAUUUGCAAUUCCUUUUAUGAUUUACUUCUUUUUUAGGUGAUAUACAAUUAUGUUUAAUUUGCUACGGUAAUGACGAAGUUCAAGACAAGAGCUACUCGAUUGAAGGACCCUUCAUGCUUCCAUAACUAUAAAGUAGAAGAAAUAUUUGAGGAAUUUAUAGAGCCACGGAAACUUUUAGAGGAGAAGGGCUUUAUCAUCCUAAAUCAACCAACAGGCGUAAUGAGCAGCAUCCAUAUUGCGGCAGCCAUGAGAGGUUGGGUAAAAUUUUGCUCAUCACCCUCAAAACCCAAUUGUUCUAGUUGUUAAAGAAUUCUACUCCAAUAUGAAAAACUAACUAGGCAAUCCAAGAGGGGGUGAAUUGGGUUUUUAAAAAUUAAGUUAAGCAAACCACACACAAAUCCAAUCUAAUGCCUUAAUAAAUUCAAAAACAAUAAAUUCAAUGAAAGCACAAUAAUAAAUGAGCAAGGGAAGAGAAAGCAAACUCAAGGAUUUUUACGUGGUUCGGCAAUCCUCGCCUACGUCCACGCCUCCAAGCACACCGGGCUUGAGGAUUUCACUAUCCAAGCCUUUCCAAGGCUUCAAACGUUUACAAUUGACUUCAAGGUGUCAAUGAACCUUUACAACAAGAGAUUAUCUCUCCAAUCUCUUCACUCCAAGUGUUUCUCACACUUGUACACUCACAAUUUGAUGAGAAAUGAAAAAUACAACAAUGAAUCUCUCUUUAAGAGUGGAUAUAUAAAUUGAAGAACAAAGAUGAUUUAAUAAAUGAUGAGUUACGAAAUUAAAGCUCAAUAUAUGUUGUGUGCACUUGUUCUUGCUUGCUUAGAUUACCAAAAAUGAUUUGGUUUUGAGUUUAUAUAGUUUGAGCUCAAAAACUAGCAUUUAUGCACAUUUUGGUCAUAACCGGAUUGCCAGUUAUGGACAUCCGAUUAGCCGCUUAAUGUUACCGUUACAGUCACAAUUUUAAAUUUCUGAACAUCCGGUAUUCCGCUUUGUCAAAUCCAGAUUGCCGCUUAUGCUCAUAAGCUUACUGCCCAACAACCGGAUUUCCAUUUGUCAGGAUCCGGUUAGCCACUUACUACAGUAACUGCUACAGUAAAAUAUUUUCUAAUUUUAUAGUUUGACCCCAAAACUUUAUAAAACUGUAUUAUGGCCCAAAACGUUAUGAAACUUUGCAAAUAGGUCCAAUUUUAGAAUUUUUAAAUAAUACUUUGUUAAUCCCAAAACUUUUUGAAAUUAUAAUAUAACCCAAAAUGCUAUGACACUUUUCAAAUAAGUCCUUCACCAAAAUUUCAAGUAAUAUUUGUUGAUUUCAAAGUUUUCAAAAAUCUUUCAAUUUAAACCAUAAAGUUGAAAAACAACUAAUUUCAUGAAAUCAUUUUUCCAUUAAAUAUGAAACCUUUAUAAUGUAAAAAUAAUGAUUUAUUUAAAAAGAAUAAAAAUAACCAAUUUCUUAAAAUCAUUUUUCCAUUAAAUAUGAAAUAUUUAUAAUGUGAAAAUAGUGAUUUAUUUAAAAUAUAUAAAAAAUAAUUUGAGCUUAAAAGAUUAAUCAUUCUUAAUCUUAUUUGUUAUCAUCAAAAUCAAUAUUAUGAAAACAUAUAUGUUAACACAAUAUGCUACAGUAGGAUCAGCACAAUAUUUUUGUAAGGCAAGCCUUUAGACUCUAGAGUUAUUAAUGCCUUCUAUGAUUUACCCACUGCUAUUGAAUAUGAAUAUACUCAAUUUGCUGAGAAUAUGACCGUUAAGAAAUGGGGGGAAGUGUUCAAAACCUUAACUGUCCUAGGUAGUGCAUGGAUGAACAAAGAAGGGUAAGUGGUUAGUAGAAUCGAUUUGAAACCUAUUGCCAAAGUUUAGGUCAAGUUUUUAAAAUCUCGAUUAAUAUCAACUACCCACACUACCACAGUUUCUCAAGACAGGCCCAUCCUCUUUUGUACUAUAGUUAAAGGUUUCAAUAUAGAUGUAGGCAAGAUCAUUGAAAGGGAAAUCAAAGAUUAUGUUAUGAAAAAGCAAAAAUCAGUUGCAUUACAAUUUCCUUCUCUUAUCACAGGAAUAUGUGAAGCCUCAGGAGUGCAAUUUGAGGACAGUGAUGAGCAAAUAAAGAAUGAAGGAGCCAUUACCGUGAGGACAAUUGAGAGAAUUGCUGAAGAGUCUACAGCUAUAGCAGGCCUAGGACACCUAGCUAUAACAAGAAAAAAAGGCUACAAGGAUCAAGAAUAUACUUCAAGCCCUUUGUGAGGCGUGCAAGCAAGUGUCCAAAGCCCAAAUGAAAGAGAAUAAGAGAUUUUGACUUAUUUACAAUAUCUUGAAGCACAAAAACAUCAAUUUUCCCUGUACAUGAAGAGUAAAGAUACAGACUUCCCAGACUCGUUGCUACAACAAUUUAAUUUUGAAGAAGGUAAGAAAGUUGUUGCAGCAUAAGGGAGUGAAGAUAAAGAGGAUGAAGCUGGGGAAGAACAGUAGCCAGAACAAGAGGAUGAAUGAGAAUUUGAAGAUGAAAAGACUGAAGUAGAGGAAGAAGAGGAGAAGAAAGAGAAAGAAAAUGAAGAAGAGUUGCUCAAACAUAGGAAGUAAGAAUCAAUCUGAGAGACCUCAUUGCUUGUAUUACUGCUGAGAAACCAGUUGCAGCAAAUCAUCCUGCCCUAGCUGCUACACAACAAACCCCCAACAAAAUUGAAAUAAAAUUUAUGCAACCCAAGAAGAGGGGUGAAUUGGGAUUUUAAAAUUAUGCAAUACAAUUCGCACAACAAUUUAAUCUAUUGCCUUAAUCAAAUCAAAAACAAUAAAUUCAAUCAAGCACAAUAUUAAAAGAGUAAGGGAAGAUAAAACAAACACAAGGAUUUUUACGUGGUUCGGCUAUCCCCGCCUACGUCCACGCCUCCAAGCACACCCGGCUUGAGGAUUUCACUAUCCAAGCCUCCCAAGGUUUCAAAUGUUUACAAUUGACUUUCAAGGUGUCAAUAGACCUUUACAACAAGAGACUAUCUCUCCAAUCUCUUCACCCCAAGUGUUCCUCACACUUGUACACUCAUAAUUUAAUGAGAAAUGAAAAUCACAACAAUGAAACUCUCUACAAAAGUAGAUAACAAAUUAUAACUCAAUAAUAAUUCAAUAAAUGAUGAUUUGCAAAAUGGAAGCUCAAUAUAUGUUAUAUGAUCUUAUUUAUGCUUGCAAUAGUUCUUAAAAUGAAGUUGGAGUUGAGUUUUUAUAAUUAAAGCCCGAAAACUAGCCGUUAUAGGCAAAUUCCAGUGCCCAAGCGGUUAGCUGCUCAUGAACAGUGAUAUUACCGUUAUUUUUUAAUUUUGCUACAGUAACAUUGUUCACUAAAAUUACACUUUGACCCAAAACUUUCUAUAAUUAUACUAUAACUCCAAACGUCAUAAAACUUUACAAAUAUGUCCAAUUUCAGAAUUUCUUAAUAAUAGUUAUCUUUCCAAAACUUUCUGAAAUUAUGAUAUGGCCCCAAAGAUAUUAUUCUUUCGCAAAAAGGUCUUUUUCAACAUAAUACCCAUAUUUUUCAAAGUUCUCAAAAUCUUUCACUUUAGUCCAAAAUAUUCAUAAAUUAUAGUAUGGCCCAAAACAUUUCAAAUGUUUGUAAAAAGGUCCAACUCUGAAAUUCAAGAAUAAUACUUAUUAAAAUCAAAGAUUUCAAAACUGUGCAUUUAAGUCCAAAUUACUCAAAAUCACAAAGUACUUUAUCUUAUAAAAAUAAAACCUUUUAGUUUAUAAAAAGUAAUUAAUUAACUUAAUCUCUUGAGCUUCUCAAAUGCUAAAUCAUGUAUCAAUUAAAUCAUACCGGCUUUACAAGAAUUUAUCGCACUAAUUUGUCCGUUGAGCUCUAAACUUUAUUCUUGAUUUCGCCAUUGUCCGUUGAGUGUCUUGAGCUUGAUUUCACUUGAUUCACUUGCAUAAAUAUUACCCUUCAAAAACUAGUAAAAAUGUGAAAUACAAUAUUUAUUAAAUCACUUAAUACAUAUGUUUGUUAUCAUCAAAAUUACAGUAUGUAUAGCCCUUUAGACUAACAAAAAUCUCCUGUCACAGCUCCCAGGGUCUCCAGUAAACGCAAUGGGGCACAACCCUCUGGAGGUGCUACAGCACUAAAAGAGUCAGAGCACAAGCCAUAAUUCCAAUAGGCUCAAAACCCCAAACCCAAAAUGCUUUUGUUAGUUAACACAAAGAAAUUGCUAUGAAAUCCAAUUACAGCCAAAAAAAAAAUUCUGACACUUUAAUUAGUGUUUAACCAAAUUAGUAUAGCGAUUGAAGGUUAUUAGUGUCUAAUCAAAUUAGUAUAACUAUUGAAGCCAAAGCUUACAAGGAUGACAAAGUUGAAAUCUUUUUUUGAAAAUCUAAGCCCUGAAAUUAAUUUCCAAAAGCUCUGACAGUGGGGUGAUAUAAAAAUUGGUCAAUGUAGCUGAGCUACUCUAGACCAACGAUCAAGAGCAAGCGUGCGUCUCCUAUUAGAAUCAUCCAAAGCUAAAACAGGCAAACCAGCAAUUAAACCUGCUAAAUAUCCACUCCAAUCAUAUAUUCCCUCGAGCAAAAUUUAAAAAAAAAAGAACAAAUUCAAAGCAGAUGGGUAGGAGAACUUACACGUUGAAUAGAGUCUCUUUCUUUCGGAAUUUUCUUAACAUAAAUCUAAGCAAAUGAUAGGGUCCAGUAAUUAAAAAGAGGUAAAAUUAAUAACAUAUAAUUGGUUAGAGAUAAAUUCAAGAGCAAGGGAAAUCAAAACAUUGUAGGAGCCAAAAAGAUACCCAAUCUAGAAGAUAAAAUUUAUCCUCAUUUGUCCUGCAAAUAACGUUGCUUCUCCCGCUAGCAAUUUCCAAAGCAACAAUUCCGAAACUGCAAAAUCACAAAUUUGAAUAUUAUAUUAACGUUUCAUGAAAAUUUAAAAAAAAUAUUUAUGAGAAAUUAUUAUGCAUCAAUCCACAGAGUUCCUGCAAUUCGGGUGCUUAGGUGGACCGGUGUUGUCUUUGCGAGGAAAUAAGCUACUGGUUAACUAAUGGUCGUUGGGUUUAAAUGGAAGAUUUGAAGAAGUCUGGGGGCAUUGUGCAGAUCGACUUCAGCUUGAGGGGUCUAGUUGAAAUGUUAAAGCUGAUGUGGCAGAAUUCGUUAGUAGUUCGCUAUGAUUCCCAGAAAUACCAGAAUAUAAAUACGUGUGUUUUAGCCUCUGAUAUGGCAUUGUAAUCUUCUUCAUUUCUUAGUCAUUUAAUUAGCUAUUUGGUUCUUUAUGAUCCUUGUAACCUCCUCUAUAGAAUCAGCUUGUAAUUCGAUUAAUGGAGAUCAAUAAAAGAGUAGUUUUUCCUUCUACAAGUUGAGUGCUUGAAACUGUGCUCUGUUCAAGUUCUUUUCUGUUUCUUUCUUAAUUAGCUUGCUUUGAUUAGUUCUUUCUAGAUUCAAUAGGUUAUAACAGUCUUCUUCAUCAAGCAUACCAUACCGAAGUGGGAUUUGUUAGGGUGAUUUUACAUGCAUGCAUUUCUAAUCUCGCGUACAGCAACAAAAAUGUCAAGUAAUUCAUUCUUGUUUAUUAAGGUCUAGAAUCAGCGCUGGAAGAAGAUGAUCUUGGGGAUGCUUCAAGUUCAGUCUCUCAUGAGAAGAAAAGACAUUCUUCUUUUAACAUAACCAAAUAUAUUAAAAAGAAAAAAUGCAAUUCUUUCUUAUGGAGGUUCAACAGUAAACGAUCUUUAAACUGUUUCUUAUUUUCUCAUUGCUUAAUGCUGACUAGUCCAGUGGCGGACCUGUAGCCCAGUCUAGCCAAAAAAAAAAUUAAAAAGUUAUUCAAAACUUACAGAAUUGCCAUUAAAUACAUAAAAUAAUAUUCACUUUUACCUAUUCCUCUUUACGUUUCCCUGCUUCCCCUUUUGCAUCUAUCCAGCGGCAACAAUACAAAUCCUUCACUCCCGUGGCUGUGGUGGUCCUUUGCUUUACUUCUUUUCGGCUCAAGCACUUUCCAUUCAAUUUUUAAUAGGUAAAAAUCACAUCUUAUUUUAAUUUAUGACAGUUCCCUCCCUCGUUUACAAGUAUGAAUUAAUUUAUUACAGCUCUCUCUCUCUCUCCUUUACAAGCAUGUGUGAAAUCAAAGCAUCUUUUCUAUGAUUCUCUUUCUUGCAAUAAUUAGGUAUAAAGUAUAAACAACUAAAUAAAUAUCAACAAUUGAGAUUUGGGUAAUAAUGUUUUGGUGAUUGUUGAUUUGUUAGUUACUAUAUAAUUCUGAUUGGUGGUUGGCAUCACUAUAUUAGAAUGAGUAGAUAAUAAAUUGUAUAAUAAAUAAAUAAAUUUGUUUAUUGAACUUCCCCAUUUGAUUAAAUUAACUCAAAUCUCACUGUUUAUUUAUUAAUAUUUUUUAUUAUUCUAAUAUUUUACAAAUCUUUUUUCAAAAAUUUGAUAGGCAUGGGUAUUUGUAUUAAUCAUAUAUUGUCUUAUAUGAGCUUUAAACGUUGAUUUUUUUAUUUCACGACUUUAAAUAUAUUUAAAAUUAGUAGAAUAUAUAGUUUAUAACACUUUUAAUGAUUUCUUGAUUCUCACACAAUUACAUGUUGUUAUAGGUUGUAUGUCAAACAACAAAUUCAAACCAAGGAAAACUCUUCUUUUAUUCUUUACUAAAGUAAAUGAUGGUCAAUCAUCAAAUGGGACAAGUUUUAUGUGCAACAUUGAUGCCUCAAAUUCUCCACCUAAGUCUCAAAGAGUCGAAUUUGAGAAAGUUGAUACUCCAUCCACUAUUGACACGCCUUAUUUAGAAUGUGAUCCCGAAUUGUAUUUUUCAAUAAGUGCUUUUUGUUAACAUAUAUGUUUUCAUAAUAUUGAUUUUGAUGAUAACAAACAAGAUUAAGAAUGAUUAAUCUUUUAAGCCCAAAUUAUUUAAUAUUCUUUUUAAAUAAAUCAUUAUUUUUACAUUCUAAAUGUUUCAUAUUUAAUGGAAAAAUGAUUUUAUGAAAUUGGUUGUUUUUCAAAGUUUAUGGUUUAAUUGAAAGAAUUUUGAAAACUUUGAAAUAAACAAGUAUUGCUUGAAAUUUUGGUGAAGGACUUAUUUGAAAAGUGUCAUAGCAUUUUUGGCUAUAUUAUAAUUUCAUAAAGUUUUGGGAUUGACAUAGCAUUACUUAGAAAUUCUGAAAUUGGACCUAUUUGUAAAGUUUCAUAACGUUUUAGGCCUUAAUACAGUUUUAUAAAGUUUUGGGGUCAAACUAUAAUUUUAAAAAAUAAUGCACUGGACAAGUUACUAUAGCAUCUGGCUUACCAGAUAUAAAAACUGAAAAACCGAAUAUUGGGCAGAAUGUAUCCAGAACGUAAACGGCUUACCGGAUUUCGUAACCAGCAAGCCGGAUAGGCAAAAUUAAAAUUUUUGCCUUAACGGUAACAUAAAUUCGGCUUACCGGAUUCCAUAAACGUCAAACCGGAGACGCCCAGAAUGUGCAUAACAGCUAGUUUUUGAGUUCAAACUAUAUAAACUCAAAACCAAUUCAUUUUUUGUAAAUCCAAGCAAGCAAGAACAAGUGCACACAACAUAUAUUGAGCUUCAAUUUCGUAACUCAUCAUUUAUUAAAUCAUCUUUGUUCUUCAAUUUGUAUAUCCACUCUUAAAGAGAGAUUCAUUGUUGUAUUUUUCAUUUCUCAUCAAAUUGUGAGUGUACAAGUGUGAGAAACACUUGGAGUGAAGAGAUUGGAGAGAUAAUCUCUUGUUGUAAAGGUUCAUUGACACAUUGAAGUCAAUUGUAAACGUUUGAAGCCUUGGAAAGGCUUGGAUAGUGAAAUCCUCAAGCCCGGUGUGCUUGGAGGUACGGACGUAGGCGGGGAUUGCCGAACCACGUAAAAAUCCUUGAGUUUGCUUUCUCUUCCCUUGCUCAUUUAUUAUUGUGCUUUCAUUGAAUUUAUUGUUUUCGAAUUUAUUAAGGCAUUAGAUUGGGUUUGUGUGUGGUUUGCUUAGCUUAAUUUUUAAAAACCCAAUUCACCCCCCUCUUGGAUUGCCUAGUUAGUAUUUCAUUUGGUAUCAGAGCGAGGUGCUCUUGUGUAGACUUAACCGUCUAGAGUUAAAAAUCCAUGGCAACCCAUAAUGACUCAAUCUUUAGGGAAGGACAAUCCAUAAUUAGACCACCGUUCUUUGACGGUAAUGACUACCCAUAUUGGAAAACUAGGAUGAGAAUUUAUUUACAAGCUUUAGAUUAUGAAAUUUGGGAAAUUGUAUGUGAUGGUCCAUUUAUGCCUUUGACUAAAAACGAAGUCGGGGAAGAUAUUCCAAAACCUUCACGGGAAUGGAAUGAAUUGGAAAAGAGAAAAGCUACUCUAAAUUCCAAAACUAUGAAUGCCUUGUUUUGUGCAUUAGAUAAGAAAGAAUUUCAUAGAGUAUCUAGUUGUAAGAGUGCUAAUGAAAUUUGGCACAAACUUGAAGUUGUUUAUGAAGGCACAAAUCAAGUGAAAGAGUCUAAAAUUAGUAGGUACACUCGGCAAUAUGAAUUGUUCCAAAUGGAACAAAAUGAGAGUAUGUAUUAUAUGUAUACUAGAUUUACGGAUAUAGUGAACACUCUAGGAGCCCUAGAAAAGACUUUUUCAAAUAGCGAGAAGGUUAAGAAAAUUAUUAGGUCACUACCUAAGGAAUGGAGACCAAAAAGGACUGCCAUUGAGGAAGCCAAGGAUUUAAAUAUCUUACCUAUUGAUGAUUUAAUUGGUUCUCUUAUUUCUUAUGAGGAAGACUUGGUAGCCGAAAGAGGCAAUGAGGAGAAGAAGAAAAACAUUACUCUCAAAGCCUCGAAACAGGAGAGUGAUGAGGAAAGUGAGCUGGAUGAGGAAGAGAUGGAUAUGCUGGCUAGGAGGUUCAGAAAACUUUUUAAGAAAUCCGGUGAGCGAAGAAAAUUUAGAGAACUCAAGAACCGAAAGGAGAAGAAGGAAUUAAUCAAAUGUUAUAAGUGCAAGAAGCUUGGCCAUAGAAGAAUGGAAUGCCCUCUUCUCAACAAGCUCAAGAAGAAAGCAAUGGUAGCCACAUGGGAUGAUAGCGAUGAGGAAAUAAGUAAUGAUGAAGAGCAUCAAGAAAUGACAAAUCUAGCUCUCAUGGCAAUUGGAGAUGAAUCGGAUGAUGAACUUAAUGAGGUAAAUGAUUUUUUUACUUAUGAUGAAUUAUAUGAUGCUUUUAAAGAAUUGCAUGAUAAUUGGAUAAAAAUUGGUAAAAAGAAUGCAUGUCUUAAAAAGAAAAUGGUAGAGCUCAAAAAUGAAAAUGAAUCUCUAUGUCCAAAGAUUACAUGCCUAGAAUUAGAGAAUAAAACAUUGCAUGAUAGAGUUGCAUUAUCAAAUGAGAAAUCUAGCACUUCACAUGAGCAUCUAAAAUAUCACAUAGAUGACUUGAAAAAGGAAAAUGAAAUGCUUAAAAAGAAGAGCAAUGAAUUAAAUGAGAUUGUCUUAAAAUUUACAAAUGGGCAAAAGAUGUUGGAUAACUUGAUUAAUUCACAAAAAUGUGUGUUUGAUAAAGGAGGACUUGGUUAUAAGCCAAAUUUGAAACAAAAGUAUUAUAAGAACUACUUUGUGAAGAGUACAUCUAUUAACAAUCAAGUUGUAUGUCAUUAUUGUAAUCAAAACGGUCACAUGAAGCUUGGUUGUCCUAUUAAAAGAAAAGUAUAUUAUGGAGUAAAAUGUGUUUGGGUUCCAAAAGGAACCAUUGCUAACACUCAAGGACCCAAGAGCAUUUGGGUACCAAAGGGCACAACUUGAAUAUUCUUUUGUAGGUACCACAAACAAGGAAUGGUGGAGAGUUCCUUGAUGAAGCUUGUGAGGAUAAUCAUUUGAGCAUGAUCUAGAAGAAAAAGAUGAGGCAAGAUGAUUUAAUUGUUUUGAUAAUAAUUCUUGCCAUAUUAAUUUUGUUGAAUGGAUCAUGAUAAAUGGAUAAUAGAUUGAAUUUGUGAAAGUAUACUUGUAUGUUUACAUGAUAGAAUUAUCAUUGUGUUUAACAUUGAGUGCUUUAUCAUGAUGCAUGGUUAUAUAUAUAAGAUAAUAGCUUGUCAACUCAUCAUGAUAGCUUUGUUUGAUUUUGAUGAUUAUAUAAUGCCUAAGCUUGAUAAAUGAGUGAUAUGCUUGAAUUAUUAAUCUUUGAAUGCUUAUAUGUUUCAUGAUUGUGUAAAAUAUAUACAUGAUAAAUGAAUUAUAUGUGUGAAUUCUUGUGCCGUUAAUUGUGUUAUAUCAUCAUUCACUUAUAAAAUUGACAUCAUUGUUUGAUACGAUUUCAUAUGUUUGGUCUUGUAUGCAGUUAUGUCUCAUGCAUUAAAUGGCUUAUUGAAAAGUUUUAAAUCUCAAAAUGAUUUAAAAUUAAUCAAUUUUUAAGGCCGGAAAUAAAAUGGUGUGUGUAGUACAAGUAUAAGAGGUAGCAAAUAUUCCCUUUCCAUUCAUCCGGAAAAACAUUUUUUCUUAUUGAUUUCUCUCGGGACAAAUUCCGGAUAACCAGAUUUUCAAUCCGAAAAACCGGAUUAGCUUUGGUUGCUCUCUGGACAACAUUCGGAUAAUCGGUUUCUCAAUCCGGAAAAUCGGAUUUGCUAAGCAUCCUCUCUGCCUCAUAAUCGGUCUACCGGUUCUUCUAAUCCAAAAAACCGGAUGCAUUUUGAAUGCUCACUACCUCGCAACCAGCCUACCGGCUCUCGAAAACCGGCAAGCCGAAUUCGCGUGAUUGGAUUUGUUGAAACACAACCAGAUUUCCGGUUAAAGGCAUUCGGCAAGCCAUUUAUGGGCUUCACGUUUCUGCCCAAUAACCAGCCAGCCGGUUAGGAAAUCCGGCAAGCCGGAUUCGGGUGCUAUUUCAAUUAUUCAUCUUCUCCCUCUCUUUCGGCAUUCCGGUUCUCUCUCUCUCACUAAAAGCCGAUUACUCCUCACUUGAUUUCAUUCCAAAAUCCAUCAUUCUCAUUCGUUUUCAAUCCAAAUUGAUUCAUAUAAAUUAUUCCCCAUCCAUUCUUGUGUCUAAAAUCAUUUUAAUUGAUUCAAACUUACCAAUUUUACUCAAUAUCUUGAAAAUUCGAAUUUGUGCAUUUUGAGUAUUUCAAAUUACCACUUCCAUAGUGUGCUCUCCUUAUGGAUUUUACCAUAGUUUUCUAUUAAAUUAUGCACUUACAUUUUCAUAUGCCUUGUUGCUUUCAUUGUGGAUUGAUGAUGAUUAUUGUUUGCUAUUUGGAUAAUGUGGAACUAAUGUGCUUAUCUUGACUUUUUGAUGAUCAAGAGGGAGAUAUGAGAUGUAAGGGAGAAAUACAUCUACUUUGAGAUUCUUAAGCAUAUGUUGAUUUUGAUGAUCUAUAUAUUGCUAUUAUAUACUUAUGCUUUACUUAAGUUUUGAUGAUAAAAAAUGUGCUUUAAUGAUUCCAUUGUAUUUGAUGAAAUUUGAUCUUAUGGAAUCUAUGAUUGGUGAAUGGAUACAUUUUUUUUUUGUGCUUUCUUGACGCAUUGUUGAAUAUGCCUUACUUGUUUUAAAUGAUAUCGAAAAAAAAAAGGGGGGAUAUACAUAUACUUCGAGAAUUUUAAGCAUAUAAGAUUUUUUAAGUUAUAUUGAAAUGUCACAUUAGAUCUUUGAUGAGUUUAGUUGUCUUGAUUUAUAAAAUGUGAUUGGUAAUUAUGGAGCUUGGAUAGUUGAUAAUAUGCAUGCCAAUUUGGUAAAGAAAUCAAAACCUCUUUGCGAAGAGCAAUUUUCAAAAAUUCGGUAUAAACUUGGGAUGAUUUGAUUUCUUGAUGAUUUUGAUGAUUGAUGAUUAUAUGUGCGUUGCUUGUUGAAUUGAAGGAGUUGUUGAUUUGAUAAUUAAUGGAAUAAUAGUUCAUGAUCAUUUUAUGGUUGAUGGAUUAUAUGAUGAUGAUAAUUUGUGAGUAAUAUUACUAAAUUUGUAUUUGAAGUGAUACUUGUUGUUAGGGGGAGAUUCUUUCAAAAUUUCUACUCAAACAACAUGGGUAACAAAUUUGCUACUUUUAUUCUUUUCCUUUACGUUUUCUUUUUUAUGAUGAAGGGGGAGAAGAAUACAUGUUUUUCAAAUUUAUAAAAAUUUACUACUUUUUUCUUUGCCAAUUAAGUUUUUCUUUUUGAUGAUGAGGGGGAGAAAAAUCCAUGUAUUUAAAUAUGUUAAUUUAGCUAAUUGGCAAAUUGUAAAAGAAGAUUAUAUUUAGGGGGAGCAAUUUGUGGAAUCAUUCUUUAAAUACAUGAAAUAUUUGUCAUCAUCAAAAAGGGGGAGAUUGUUAACAUAUAUAUUUUCAUAAUGUUGAUUUUGAUGAUAACAAACAAGAUUAAGAAUGAUAAAUAUUUUAAGCUCAAAUUCAUAUAUGUUUUCAUAAUGUUGAUUUUGAUGAUAACAAACAAGAUUAAGAAUGAUAAAUAUUUUAAGCUCAAAUUAUUUUUGUGGAAUCAUUCUUUAAAUACAUGAAAUGUUUGUCAUCAUCAAAAAGGGGGCGAUUGUUAAUAUAUAUGUUUUCAUAAUAUUGAUUUUGAUGAUAACAAACAAGAUUAAGAAUGAUUAAUCUUUUAAGCCCAAAUUAUUUAAUAUUCUUUUUAAAUAAAUCAUUAUUUUUACAUUCUAAAUGUUUCAUAUUUAAUGGAAAAAUGAUUUUAUGAAAUUGAUUGUUUUUCAAAGUUUAUGGUUUAAUUGAAAGAAUUUUGAAAACUUUGAAAUAAAGAAGUAUUGCUUGAAAUUUUGGUGAAGGACUUAUUUGAAAAGUGUCAUAACAUUUUUGGCUAUAUCAUAAUUUCAUAAAGUUUUGGGAUUGACAUAGCAUUACUUAGAAAUUCUGAAAUUGGACAUAUUUGUAAAGUUUCAUAACGUUUUGGGCCCUAAUACAGUUUUAUAAAGUUUUGGGGUCAAACUAUAAUUUCAAAAAAUAGUGCACUGGACAGGUUACUGUAGCAUCCGGCUUACCGGAUAUAAAAACUGAAAAACCGAAUAUUGGGCAGAAUGUAUCCAGAACGUAAACGGCUUACCGGAUUUCGUAACCAGCAAGCCGGAUAGGCAAAAUUCAAAUUUUUGCCUUAACGGUAACAUAAAUCCGGCUUACUGGAUUCCAUAAACGUCAAACCGGAUACGCCCAGAAUGUGCAUAACGACUAGUUUUUGAGUUCAAACUAUAUAAACUCAAAACCAAUUCAUUUUUUGUAAAUCCAAGCAAGCAAGAACAAGUGCACACAACAUAUAUUGAGCUUCAAUUUCGUAACUCAUCAUUUAUUAAAUCAUCUUUGUUCUUCAAUUUGUCUAUCCACUCUUAAAGAGAGAUUCAUUGUUGUAUUUUUCAUUUCUCAUCAAAUUGUGAGUGUACAAGUGUGAGAAACACUUGGAGUGAAGAGAUUGGAGAGAUAAUCUCUUGUUGUAAAGGUUCAUUGACACCUUGAAGUCAAUUGUAAACGUUUGAAGCCUUGGAAAGGCUUGGAUAGUGAAAUCCUCAAGCCCGGUGUGCUUGGAGGUGCGGACAUAGGCGGGGAUUGCCGAACCACGUAAAAAUCCUUGAGUUUGCUUUCUCUUCCCUUGCUCAUUUAUUAUUGUGCUUUCAUUGAAUUUAUUGUUUUCGAAUUUAUUAAGGCAUUAGAUUGGAUUUGUUUGUGGUUUGCUUAGCUUAAUUUUUAAAAACCCAAUUCACCCCCCCUCCCCCCCUCUUGGAUUGCCUAGUUAGUAUUUCACUUUUCCCAUUGACAAGUGUCAAGAUGUGCAGAUGGCGCAUAUAAAUAUGGGACCAUUUCAACCCAAACUACAAAAGUAUCAAUCAACUAGACAUGGUACGCAAAACCGUCGAUUUCAAUUUUCUUGGUUCUCGAAAUUUCCUUGGCUUGAGUAUUCGAUAUCAAAAGACAAAGCAUUUUUUUUCCAUGUUAUAUUUUUCAUGACAAGCCAUCUAAGAAUGGUACAUUUAUUGUCGAUGGGGUUCAAAAUUGGAAGUAUGUUGGUUGUGAAAAAACAUGUCCUUUUGCUCAACAUGAAGGAGGACACGGUUCUUCUCACGAUGAUGUCAUGUCAAAAUAGAGCAAUUUAAAGGAUCUAUCCAAACAUAUUGAUAAGAGAAUGAAUGCACAAUCUUCACAACAAAUUUUGGAGAAUAGACUACGACUUAAAACCUCAAUAGUAGCUACCAAGUGGUUACCAAAACAAGCAUCUACUUUUAGAGUUCAUGAUGAGUCGGUUAAUUCUCUUAAUCGUGGAAAUUUUAUUGAAUUAAUUAAGUUGUUAGCAACAAUGAAUGAGGAGAUUAAUAAAGUUGUGUUAGAAAAUGCUCCUAAAAAUGCCCACUACGUAGAAUAAUAUUGAAUAUUAUUGCUUGUAAAGUACAUCACAAGAUUUGAGAGGAAGUGGGUGAUGCUAAAUUUUGUAUCAUAGUUGAUGAGGCACUAGAUGAAUCUCACAAAGAACAAAUUGCUAUUAUUUUGAGAUAUGUUGAUUAUGAUAGUUUUAUUCGAAAAUGUUUCUUUGAAAUUGUGAAUGUCGAUGAAACAAAGGUCUUGACUUUAAAAAUGAGAUAUACAAUGUGCUUGCUCGAUACAAUCUUUUAGUUGAAAAUUUAAGAGGUCAAGGGUAUGAUGGUGCUAGUAAUAUGGCGGGUGAAUGGAAGGGAUUACAAUCUUUAUUUCUCAAUGAUUGUCCAUAUGUUUAUUAUCUACAUUGUUUUGCUCAUCGACUACAGCUCGUAUUAGUUGCAAUAUCUAAAAAGGUGCAUGAGGCAUGGCUAUUUUUUUUUUUCAAAGUUGCUAGUGCUUCUUUCAACCGUUAUUCUGAGUUAAAAUCUGCUAGAGAAAAAGAAAUUAUAGAUUUGAUAGCUUUAGAAGAGCUUGAGACUGGUACAGGGACUAAUCAAGUUAGAACUUUACAAAGGGCUGGAGAUACACGUUGGAGCUCACAUUUUACUUCAGUUAGUAGGUUUAUUUAGAUGUUUGGUGCAACUCUUGAAGUUUUAGAAAAGAUUAUUAAUGAUGGAUCUAGUCGAAAUAUGCUUGGAGAAGCUAAAGGUACACAUAGGGAGAUGAAAUCCUUUGAGUUUGUGUUUAUUUUGCUUUUAUUAAAUAAAGUUCUCGGAAUUUCUGAUAUUCUUUGUCAAGCAUUACAGAGAAAAUCACUGGACAUCUUGAAUGCUUUGAAUUAUGUCUCAAGUACAAAAAGACUUUUGCAAGAGUUUCGAGAUAGUGGAUGGGAUGAUUUUAUUCGAAGUGUAGUAUCAUUUUGUGAAAAAUAUGAUAUUAUUAUGCUUGAUAUGAGUGAUUGUUAUAUGGAACGUACAAAGAGUUUUGGUCAACGAAAAGACUAUGUUACAGUUGAACAUCAUUAUCACUUUGAUAUAUUUAAUGUUGCAAAAGAUUUUCAAUUGAUGGAGUUAAACAGUAGAUUCUCUGAGCAAACUGUGGAACUCCUUACUUUGAGCUCAGCAUUGGAUCCAAUUGAUGGGUUCAAAUCUUUGAUUUAGACAAUAUUUAUUCUUUUGCUGAGAAAUUUUAUUCUCAUGAUUUCACUCCAAAUGAGGUGCUUGCUUUGAGAAGAGAUUAGAACAUUAUCAAAUUGAUGUGCUUUCUCAUCCACGGUUUCAAAAUAUGACUUCCAUUUCUGAGCUAUAUUGAUAAUUUGUUAAAACAAUGAAGUCACAGCACUAUUUGUUGAUUGAUAGAUUAAUUCAUCUAGUCUUGACUCUUCCUGUUUCCACGGCCACAACAGAGCGUGCAUUUUCAGCCACGAAACUUAUCAAGACAUCACUUCGUAGUAAGAUGGAAAAUGAGUUUUUUUUUUUUAGAUUGUAUGGUUAUUUAUGUUAAAAGAGAAAUUACUGAUACUGUUGACUCAGAUUCUGUAAUUGAUGAUUUUUAUAAUUCGAAACCUUGAAAAGUACAACUUCGGUAGCAAAUUUGUAUUGGGAUUGUAUUUUUAUUUUAUACUACUUUUUUUAAUUUAUUUUUAUUUACAAUAUAGAUUCUACGCGUAAGGCUCCUAAUGUCCCGUGUUAUUAGGUGUAUUUUGUCAGCUAUAUAUAUGGAAUUUCAUGUUCACUUGGUACAAAUUUUUUUUACUUUUUUAAUUUAGCCCAGGGUACUAUAGGGUUCUAAGUUUGUCCCUACUGACUACCAAUACCAAUUUGGAUUUUGAUAUUGUGUUAGUGUCAUGAUGUAUCAAAUUUAUAAUCCAUACGCAUAACUCAUUAGUUGAAGUAAGGUCGAGCUUCAUUGGUAAGAAGUGAUUUUCCUAAACUUUAAGUUAUUAAGCUCCCACAUCACUUGAGACUCAAGUUGGAAUUCAGAUGUUGGAAUCAUUAGCAUUAUUCUUAACUAGUAUAUAUAGUAAAAACUCAAUAAAUAAAUAUUCAAUAAAUGAAUAACAUUGAUUAAAUAAUAAAAUUUUUUAGUCCCGACUUGGGACGUUGUAAUAAAUUAAUAUAUUUGCUAAAUACGUAUGAUAAAAAAAAUUUAAAUCCUUAAGGUCCAAUGAAAAUAUAAAUUAAUAAUUAAUCGAAUACAAAACUUAAUAAUAAAAAAAUAUAAAAUUGGUAAUAUUAAAUAGCUUUUUUCUUACAACUUCAAUUAUCUAAAUUCAACUCUUUCCAAAAUAUGUAUCUAAAGUUGUUUUUUUUUCCCUAAUGAUUUCAAACUAAAUAUUAAAAAAUAAUUGAAUAUAACUUGAGUUACUUUUGUAUUUUUUUUUUCUAAUAUCAAAGGCUCACACAAUAGUGACAAAUAUGUAAAUGAUUAUACAAAUUGAACAAAGAAAAAAAGAUAUUGUGUAAUACAAGUUUCCUAACUAAACUAUACUAUUAUGCAUAGCACUCGAGGUUUUUUUUCCCCCCUUUAAAGCAAGUAGGGGAGCCGUUAUUUCUAUUUUAUUAGAAGAGAUAUUGUUGACUUGAAAAAGCACAAUUAUUGGAAUGUACCAACAAACUCUUCUAAAACAAGGGAAAAAAAAACUCUCUCUAAAUUAAUAAAUAUUUAAUAAAUUAUUCAUUCAUUUAUAAAUAAAUAAAUUUACUAAAAUAAUUUUUUUUAGUCUCAACAAUAUUAUUUUAUAGAGGUUUUACUAUACAUGUACAACUAUUGUUUAAUAAAUAUUUUGUUUUCCAAAGGCUAAUAAAUUUUAAUUCAAGAAAGUCAACUUUUUAAUUGAGUUGAUCAUAGACUUUUUUUGUCUCGUUCUUGAGGUCGAGAGUUUGAAUGUUCUUAUUGGUAUCAAAAAUUAUUUAUUUAUCAAUUUUUUGAUUUUAUAUUUCAAAAUUGGACUAAUAUUCAAGAAGUGUUAGUUAUAUGUGGUAAAAAAUGGAGUGAACAAAAGAGCACAUUAUCCCAUCUAAACCCAAAUCAGUUUAGAUAGUUUGUAACUGAUUUGGUUGGGGUUAAAAAUAUGAGUGAAUCUAUUUAAAAUACUUUUUAUCUCUUCAAACCCCUUUUACUUUUUAUUUCUAAUAACUAUUUACCACUGAAUGAAAAUAUUAUAAUAAUCAUUCACACUCCACUCUUCUACUUUCCCUAUGUUGUGUUUAUUUAUUAGAGUGGAAAUGAGUGUGAUUUCUUCUUACUCUGACGUUUACUUACUCGUUUAAGGAAUAGAGUGUGAGUUCCAUUCCGUGGGUUCUAUUCAUUUUUAAAAUAAUGAGUGAGAUUCCCAUGAGGGAGGGUGAGAAUGAAAAUCCGCUAUUCUAAAAUGAUAUAAUUAUAUUUAUUAAAAUAAAAUAAUGUGAUAUAUUUAUCUAAAUAAUAUUAUUAUUGUUAAAGAUGAAGCUCAAAUUUGAAUUUAAGAACACAUGCAAUAAGUCAGAUAUAUUCUGAGAUUGCACAUGACAUAUCGGUUGAUAACUGACUACAUGUUAGUUGUAGAAAUUCAAGGAGCUAUAUGACAUUCUUGUAACAUCGGUUAAAUAAGUAAGUGGUACACGUGAUACGGUUGUUAUUCACGAGGGGAAAUUCUGGGCUUCUUCACAACAAACCCAGAAGACAGCAGCUGAUUGGUGCAAGGUCUUUCUAGAUCCUCUAUUGGUUAUAUAUAUGCCUUUAUGGUUAGAUCUAAACAUAGAGUGAUUCAAUAACACCUUCUGAGAAACCUUGUAUCUUGAAAAAACUCUAAUAGCGAAACUUUUCUUCUCUUUCGCAAUGGAUGUAGGCUCACUUUGUGGUCGAAUCAGUAUAAAUCUUGGUGUCAAGUGUGUGUGUGUGUGUUUGAUUCUGAUUUCUUGAAUUUCUUGUUCAGGUUGCAAUUGGUUCUUUAAUCAUACUAAAGCUUGCAUUCGUUAAGUCAAUUUUGAGAUUACAGAACAUAAGGAGUGGAUCUCGGGGAAUCUAAAUCGGUGUCUUAUCUUGUUUAGUUUCAACAAUUAUAUUAUUCAAUAAAUAUUACAUUUGUUAAAAACAAUAACAUUAAACUUAUUUAAAUAUAAUAAUAUUAUAUUGGGUUAAAAAUAAUAAUUUAUAUUGAUUCUUCGUUAAAAUUACUUAAAAAUAAUAUUACAAUAUUUAUAGAGAAUUAAUAAUGUUACUAUAUACUAUUUCUAUUUGAAAAUAUAAUAUUAUUAUAUUUAUUUAAUUUUAAUAAUUAUAUUUAUUUAAUAUUAAUAAUUAACAAUAAUAAAUAGUUUAUUCUAAGCAAAUAUUAAUUUUAUACUAUAUUGUUAAUAAUAAUGUUUCAUUUGUGUUGCUCUUAUUAGUAACUUUUAAUUUACAUAGUUAAGAUUAAAAUUAAUAAAAACUUGUGAUUUACAUAAUUAACAAAUAUUAAUAAUUACUAUUAAUUUACAUAGUUAAGAUUAAAAUUAAUAAAAACUUGUGAUUUACAUAAUUAACAAAUAUUAAUAAUUACUAUUAAUUUAUAUAAUUAAAAUUAUUAUAAAAUAAAUAUUUUUAUUUGACAAAUAUAUUUUUUAUUCACUUUGUAAUUAAAAUUCUUCUAAUAUGAGUAAAAAUAAUUUGAAAUAAUUUAUUUCCAAUCCAAAAUAAAGUAAACCCAUAAAUGAGAUUUUGAUUUUUAUUCUAUACUUCAAUUUCAAUGUAAAUAAAUAAUCGACUUUUACUCACACUCUAUAUUUUUAAUAACAAGAUUCCUACUCUCAUUUGAGAAGUAAACACUAUCUAAAUGGAUUUUAAAUUUUGAAAUAAAUCUGAUUGAGCAUGUAAUCAUGUACGUAAUUGUACACAAUCCAUUACGUAUCAUAAUUUUAUUGAUUGACAUCCCAUAAUUAGAUUAAUAAAAUCAUGGUACAAAACUUAUUGUGUAAAAUAACAUGUGCAAUGAUACUCACUUUCUCUUAACGAUUUUUUUUUUAAUUUUGUUUUAAUAAUUAAUACAUACCAUAUCCAUAUUCUAAUUACUGUAUGUCUCUGCGUAUAACAGAGGGGCAUUUGAUUUGAUCUCACAAAAUCAACGGACUGCAAUGCUUCACAGAAUUUCAUUCCGUUCUUCUUCUUCAAAAACAGCUUUAAACUGUAAGCUAACAUCUUCUCUCACUCACUUCCGGAGCCUCUCAUCUUCUGAUUCCAGAAAUAAUCUCUCUUCUUUGUUUCGAAAAACGGCAAAACCAAGCUACACUUUCUAAAUUCCUCAAUGAGAAUUGCAAAUCAGGUAACUUCACUUUGAACGAAUCACUUGAUUUCUUUGAUUACAUGAUUCGUCUGAAAUCCCCACCUCCUUUGUCAUCUCUCACUUUUUUAUUUACUGCACUUGUUUAAGAAAAAUCAUUAUGAUACUGUUUUCUCGCUUUACUGGAGGUUUAACUCAGCUGGGUUGAUGCCUGAUUUGACUUUACCAAACAUUUUUGAAUAGUUGCUUUUUGCAAUAUGGGUAGUAUUUCCGAUGGUUUUUUGGUUUUUGGGAGCAUCUUGAGGAGGGUUUUUGCCCCAGAUGCUAUGACUUUUACUACUUUGAUUAAGGGAUUUUGUACAGAGAUAAGGAUUUUAGAAGCCACUAAACUGUUUAAGAAAAUGGUUGCUUUUGGCUGUAGUCCUGAUAUCAUUACAAAUGGCACUUUGAUUAAAGGAUUGUGUCAGACAGGCAAUACAAUUCUUGCACUUAACUUGCAUGAAGAGAUGAUCAACAGGAAUGAUAAAUCAGGUGUUAUUUGUAAGCCUGAUGUUGUUACUUAUGGUAGGAUCAUUGAUGGUCUUCGGAAAGACGGUUAAGUAGACAAGGCAAAUGAAGAGUAACAUGACUUAUCAAAAUGUGAUUGUUACAGCUGUUUAAUUCAUGGUUUUGUUGUGUUGCUAAUUGGGAUGUGGCUAAACAUUUGUUUGUUGAGAUGACUGAUCAAGGUGUACAACCCAUGUGGUAACAUUUGGUGUGACGAUCGAUGUAUUAUGCAAGAACGGAAAGGUAGAAUAAGCAAGUGAAAUGUUAGAAUUGAUGAUACAAAGAAAUGUGCAUCCUGAUAUAGUCACUUACAGCAGGUUGUUGGAUGGGUUUCACUUGAUAGGUAGAAUUGCUGAUGCAAUGAACCUCUUUAUUUCAAUGAUGAAUAAGGUGUGUAGACCUAGUGUUGUUAGCUACAGUAUCUCGAUCAAUGAGCAUUGCAAAAGGUAGAAAGUAGAGGAAGCAAUAAGUUUGUACACGGAAAUGGUUUCAAAAGGGAUUAGACCUGAUGUUGUUACUUAUAACACCUUGUUAACUGGCGUCUUUCAGGUAGGUAGGGUUGGAGAUGCCCGUAAACUGUUUGAUUGGAUGAAAUCUAACAAGGUUGUCAUGAUUCAAGGACAUAUAUUGCACAAAUUGAUGGUCUUUGUAAGAAUGGUUAUCUUUGAGAGGCAUUGGAACUUUUCAAUAAUUUUUUUAAAACUGCAAGUUUAAAUUCUUCAUUGAAAUCUUUAAUUGCAUUCUUGGUGGAUUUUGUGAAGCAAGGAGAUUGGAAAAGGCAUGGUAGUUAUUUCACAAAUUGCCUCAUCAUAGGUUGGUUCCAAAUGUUGUAACACAUACCAUCAUGAUCAUGGGCUCGGUAGAGAAGGACAACUAGAAACGGCGAAUGAUGUGUUACUGUUUGUGGAUAGAAAUGAUCGUGCUCCAAAUGCAGUCACAUCUGAUACAGGUAUGUGCGGUUUCUUGUAAAAUAACAGGAUGCAAAAAGCGGUUGAGCUUCUUCACAAAAUGAAAGAGGGAAAUGUGAUGCCGGAUGCACAUCUAUAUUCCAUAGUCGUGGAAUCACUUGCAACGGAUUGAAAAUAUCGUGAAUGUCUGGACUUGCUACCUUCAUUUCCUGUUCAUGAGCCAUCGACAUGAUGAAAGAAACUUCUUAUGAGGCCAAUGGAGAACUUGUUUUGAGGUUGGCUUUAAACUGUCAAGCUGAUGGGAUGGAUUGAAUUUAGAUUGGUUAUCUGCAGAAAUUUGCAUGACUUCUUGAAUUGGUAAGCUUGCUAAAAGAGCAUGAGUAAUUGUCAGUUUUACAAAGGCAUAUAUAUGCAUUCUUUCAACCUUCUUCUGCAUCUCGUAAGCUGUGAGUUGGUGAAAUAUUCUAUUCUGUUUAUAAAAUUAAAUCUCUAGAACCAGUGUUUCUCUUGAAAUGUGUAUUUAUUGUCGUAGUUACUUUAUGAAAUGAGUUUUACUUGUUUUGUGGUUCAAUAUUUGGAAUUUAGCUUUGUUAUCAUGUGAAAUGGUUGGUAGAAUUGUUAUACUGCUUUCAACUGGAUGAAACACUUGGGCUUCUGAAUUACAGUUGUGGAGAAAACUCUUAUUACAAAUACAGAAAAUUGAAUGGAAUGCAGUGAUUAUGAUGAGUGGCGUGUGUGUAUCUUAUGUGACCUCAUGGUAUUGCUUAUGUGAAAUGUGUUUUUCUUGAGAUUGUUUCCCAAUGAUUUUUUGCUUCCUUGAUGUCCUUUUUUUCUUUCUUUUAUGGGCAUGAAUAUCUGCCUUAGGAGAUUCUGAUAGGUUAAUUAGUGGCAAUUACAUUGUGUUUAUGGUAUUAGAGCUCUACAUGUUAUUACAUUUCAGAAUCUUGUUAGAGCCAUGAACUGGAUUGACUGAAAACUUCAUUCUUAUAAUACUCGGAGUCAAAAGUUGUGUUAGGUUUUGAUCGGUAAAAUGAGGUUGACAAGAAAAUGCCUUUGGUACCCAGGGUUGUGAAAAUUUGAUAAUUAUGCUCUUUAAAAUGGUAUGGUGCAAUUCUUCUGGUGUGCAAUGUUUCUUCUUCAAGUCAUAAUCUUUGAGUUGGUGUGUUGUACUAUUCUGGGCAGUAGCUCAUGAGGUAAUUUCCAUGACUGAUGCAAAAACUUAUUAAAAACGGUAAAUAAUAAAAAUAGAUCAAUUGUAGUAAUCAAUUUGUGAAAUGAGAUUUGCUAGUUUUGAGGUUCAAGGAUUGAGAUGAACUUGUUAGCGACUAGAAUUGUUAUGCUGCUUUCAUGAGAUGAAAUGAGUUAUAGUUAUUCUACACGCUUAAAAUUGUUAAAAAAUCGAAGUGCAUUGCAUCAAUUUCUCUUCAAAAUAAAGUGAACCAAUUUGCUAUCUCAAUCUUUCACAAAUUUGAAUCCAUGGACACUGUAUUGAUCUCCAAAGGUAGAAUAAGAAUGAACAAAACCAAGAAAAAUGCUUGUUGGGAAUAUUUGCUUAUUGUAUAGAUGAAGAAAAUUAAUCCAGAAAAUUGCUUCUAAAUCAAAGCUGUAUAGAGUAGCUGGUUCCAAGUAUCUGGAACACCAGCGAGACACCAAUGGCUGCAGUCAUCAAAAGCGCUGCCUCUGCCAGUGUAAACAGAAGGGUGGCCGUCUCUUCUCAGUUGAGUUAGCAGUGUAAUGUCAAGCAAAUAAGCAGGUUUGGCCAUUGAACUUAUUACACUCUUUACAACAGCUUCUCCAAGAUGAGCAGGGCCUGGAUAUUUUGGUCCCUUCAUGGGUUCAGUUUGUCCAUCACAACCCUUUGCUGUUGGAUCUCCCCAUUCCCUGCCACUGAAUUGGAGAAGAACAGAGAUCGAUUAAUUGGUAACCUGUCUAAACUUACAACAUUGCGCUGGAGUCUUUGAUAUAUAGUCUUUGCUGGUGUGUGUAUAUAUAUAUAUAUAUAUCGGUCUUACUCGACAUGAACUGCUGCAACUCCUUGGAAGAAGACUUUAGUUUUUGAAAAAUCAAUGUUAGAACCCACCCAUUUAGCCCAAGUUGUUAAUGCUAUCUUCAGAGCUUCCAUACGAUCCAUCUGUUUAAAAAUCUUCCUUCCCACUUGAAAGUAAUCCCAUCUGCCAUCAAAAACCAAAAAUAGGUUAACUCUCUGCUUAUCAGACUUGUAACCUGUAAGGUAAAACUUUUCACGUAUGCUUUAGGUUUUUGAUACAGUGCAUGUGUAUAUAUAUAUGUACGUAUACACACACAACAAUAGUUGUAUAGUUAAAAAUAUAUGACACACUUUUGAGAUUUUCCAGUGUGGAUCCACCAAUGAUAAGUGUUGAAGAUCAACAUAUCCACUCCUAGCCACUGAUGGCCAGUGCUGAUUGAAUCAAGCUUCAGAAUUUUGCCAAUUUUAUCAUGAACAAGAUCCACCAAGAAUCCAUUUUUUAACCAUAUAACUGAGGUCUCAUACUCCUGCAAAUACAAAAACUUAGUUUGUAAUCAAGAUCUAUUUAAUAUGAAAACAACUUGUAUUUAUUAUAUAUAUGGAAAGCCUACCUGGAGAAAAAAUGUAGAAAGCAGGCCUUUCUGAGAAAUUGUGUAAUUGGAAUCAGGGACAGCAAAGUGAAGCAUGCAUGCUAGUGAUAGCCACAUAUUGUUACUGAGAGAGUCCCCAACAAACAUAAUCUUUUUCCCUCUGUAUCUCUCCAAGAAAUCUCGACCAUCGAACCUACUUGAUCAUACAACCAAAAAGAUCAACAAUCGGGUGUUUGCUUGUGCUCGGGUACUUAAUCGAGUAAUUUUUAAGCAGUUUUAUUUUAUUGACCACCUGAAUUUAAAUCUUAAGAAGAUAGGGACUAAAAAAUUUAUCUAGAUUUUAUUAUCUUUUUUACCUUUUAAAAAAAUGUAAUUGUAUAUCUGUGUCUUUUUAUUAAAGCCAUAUGAAAAAAAUGAAACCAACAAACAAACAGACAACAGGAAUAGUUUUCGUCACCUUGGAAGGUUGCAAGCAGAAGGCUGCCAUCUGUAUUUAAGAUACUUCUUAUCAGGCCUACCAUUUCUUUGGCAAUCAAAUCCUCCUCUUAAGAAUGGACAAUUCCAUGAACUGUAAAGUGGGUAUGAAUCAUCAUAAACCCAACUCCCUUCAAAAUAACUGCAGCCAUUUUUGUGCCGCUGCUUCUGCUCCGUCCUUGUAAUAAUACCAUAACUGUGAGUCAAAUUUGCAUGCACUUUGGCUUUAAGGGUAGCUAGUAGAAACCCAAAGAAAAGAUGAUAAAAGAUACCAGGCCAAGCAUCAGCCAUCUGAAAAUUUUACAGAAUUUGAGUUGAUUAAUGGUAAUAUAUCUCUCUCACACACAUAUACAAGUGUAUAUCUAUGCAUCAGAAUUAACUGUUUGGUAGAUUUUGCAUUAAGGUUCGUUUAUGGUAACAUGAUUUUAUGUUUUUAUUGCUGAAUCCAGAGAGAUUGGACAUGUGGGGGACCAAAUACAUGUGUGAGGAGAUUACAGUUUUGGACCCGUGACUUACAUGUUUUAAUUUUAAAAUAAAGGCUAUGAGUUAUGACUAAAGUUGUAUCUAGAUUUUACAUAUAUAUAAUCAGAUUUGAGCCAUGUUUUGAAGAUUAAUUAACAUUAUUGUUUGUUAGAUUAUAUUAUAAUUACAUUUAUGGAAAGAUAAUUAUAUAUAGGACUGUUGACAGCUGAGGAUUGGUAUGAACGAGAGUGUUUAAUUUAUCAGACAAAAUAAAAUUUUACCGUGCUGGACAAAUAAUUAAUGUGAUAGGGUAUGUAGAAUAAACCAAUAUAAUAUAAAAUAGUAGGCUAUAUAAAUUCCGAAAAUAUAUAAAGAAAUUAUUGUGUGAUCUUUUUCUUUCUUGCCUAUUUGCAGUGAUAAUCAUGUUUAAUAUAGACAUUCUUACGAGUAAUUAACAGAGCUUUUUGUUUCUUACCUUUUUGAAUUCUUUCGUAAGUAAAGAAUUUAAUAAAUAUGUAAUUGAAAAAGAGAGAGAAGGAGAUCAAUAAAAAUGUUCACAAAAAAUCAGCAAACUGUUAAGUUUUUUUUUUAAUAAUAAAAUUGUAAAAUUUAUCUAAUUUAAUUUGGAAAAUUAAGUAAUGACAGCAAUAAGCCUAAUAAAAAACCUAUUUGCCGUUAGUCUUCAAAUAGCUUCUCUUAUAAAAAAACAUGUUUUACAUGAUUAAAAAUUAUAUUGUUAAUUUAAAUAAUAAUAUUUUUUUUUUUUUGUUAUUACUCACUCCUAAUUUAAAUAACUAAAAAUAUAUGUCAUAUCUCAAGGAUUUGUAAACCUCAUCUGUUUUGUUAUCUUUGAGAUCUUUUCUAAGAAAUAAAUGAGGAUUUUAUUUUUAAAAACUUACAUAAUUCACAGUUAUUUUUAUUUUAAAAAAUGUUUUUUUCAUUUCAAUUAUUCAAAUUCACCAGGGUAAAACUAUUAAAUUGAGCAAAUUAACAAUCAAAAAAUAAGGAUGUGUUGGGAUAUUUUACAAACGAUAACCGUUAGAGAAGUGAGGCAGAGCUAAACUAGGGAUGUAAAGAGAAUUUUCCUGAUUCAUUUAUUAUUGAUUCUAAAAUAAAAGUAUAGAAUUAAUUUAUAUUUGACUUGUUAUGAUAUCAUACAUCAAAUCCAAAAGUUGUUUUAUAAACUCAAAUAUAAUUUUAUUGAUUCAACUUUUCAAUUGUUGGACACGACUAUUGAGAUAAUGUAUGAUACAUCAUAAUGUAUCAUAGCACUACCCUUGAUUUUGAAUCAAUACCUUAUACCUGCAUCAUGUAUCAUUGAAAAUCUUUUGAAAUAGUUAUGAGUAAAAAAGUCUGUGAUAAUGACGAGUGAUAGUUAAUAAAAUGUAUAAAGUUUUUGAAAAUGAUGAGUAAUAAACCUAUUUAUAAGUACUUUUUUUUGUCCUAUUUAAAGUAUAAGAAACCAAAAAUGAAUUUCUUUACCUUUAAGAUAAAAAAAUAAAUUAGUGCCUCAAAAUGAAUUAAAUUAAGAAACUUAUUUAGUAAAUUAUGUGACUUUAAUUUAUUAUUUUCUUAAGGUAGCCGUUUGCAAUUAAAAUCUAGAUAAUUUAUAGGAUAAAUUUUGGAUUACUCCUCAUGAAUUGACUAUUUUCAAAUAACUCUCUUACUUUUGAAAUCUUAAGUUACUCUCGUUUUUGUUCAAAGGAUAAGGGAAAAAUGGGGGUGGAUUGAUGAUUGAUUUUUUAUUUUUUUUGGUCUUUUUAACAAAAAUUAGGAGGUAAAUUGAGAUUUUUAAAAGUAAGAAGGUGAUUUGAAGAUGGUCAAUUCAAAAAGAGAUACUUCAAAAUUAACCAUAAUAUAUACAUACAUGUGAAUUUUUUAUUUUUCCAGUGAACUAAAGUCUAACUCCAGUAAUAAGGAGUCCUUAGGAUUUAGGUCAUAAGUUCGAGCUUCAAUAAAUACUUGAGUUAAUAAAAUAAAAAUGUUUUUAGUAGUUAGCCGAGCUAGGUGGUGUAAGUGAAAGUUUAAAUAAUAUAUGUAUCUUUUAUAUAAUUUUUACCUUUUUUCAAAAUUGAAUACUUAUGUCUAUAUAGAGUUGGCAAAAUGUAGGCUUGGGCCAAGUUUUUCCAAGCUCAGACUCAAGUCAUAUUAUUGAUAACAAGCACAAGUUCUUUAAAAGCCCAUCCAAGUAUGGAUGGAUUGGGCUUAGGUCGGGCCUAGACGGGCUUGGGGCGGGCCAAUGCUUUUUUCAUUAAUUAGGAAAUAAUUUUUAAAUUAAUUAAAAAAUAUUUAAAUUAAAGAUAAUUACCCAAUACAUAAUAAAAUAAUAGUCUAAUACGCAAAAUAUUAGUAACACAACAUAAUAAAUCACAAACAUUAAUAUAAAAAUAUUAAUUUAAUAUUUUGAGUUUUUCUUUUUAUUUAAAUUUAAUUUAUUUUUUAUUUAUAAAUUAAAAAGUCUGGGCUUGUUCCUAGGCUUUUAACUAGUCCCAACCCAAAUAUUUCUAAUGUUUUCUUCAUUUGUCCCAAGUUAAUUUACAAUUUUCAUUACAACCCCAUCGAAAUAAUAUCCAAUUUUAGGGAUGAUAAAAUGCGGGCUUGUGUCGGGUUUUUUCAAGCCCAAGCCCAAGUCCAUUAGAGUGGAAGUGUAAGGGCCGAACCCAUGGGCCAGGCCGAGCUUGGGCUUUUAAUUAUUUUUUCAAAAUUUUUUAAUGGGUGUAAACUUGAAAUGAGUUAAUAAUAAUCAAGUUGUUAUAAUCAACAAUGAAUUAAAAUAAAUAAAUAUUUUGAAAUAAAAUAAUAAAUAAAGAAAGUGAAGCAAAUAAAAGUAUAGAGAUCUAAUUUUUUAGUACAAAAUUCUCUAAUUCAAUCACUUGCUUAAUUAAUUAACACUUAAAAUAGAGUUUAAUAUUAUAAUUUUAAGUUUUUUUAUUCAUUAUUGAUAUAUGAAUUAGGAAUUUAAACUUUCUUUUUUUUCUAUUAUUUUUUAAAUUUUAAUAUAUUAUUCUAUUUAUAAAUUAAUUAUUUAAAAAAUAAAGGGAUUAGGCUUAGGUGGGGUUUUUUCCUUAAACCUUGUCGAGGCUCUCAUGUGGGAGGCUUAGCUUGACCCGGAUUUUUUGCCAUUUCUAUUCAGUUUAGUCAAUGUUUAAAUUUAGUAUGUUGUUACACAAUUAAGAAACGUGAGUAUAUCCAUUAGGGAUUUUUUUCCCUAUGGAUUAUUUUUUAAAAGAAUAGAGAGGGCUACAAAACUCCAAUCAAUUUUUAAUUUUCUACACUUUUUAAAGUUCAAACUUGAAAGACCAACUAAAUAAACUGUUUAAAAAUUAUUUGAUUAGAAUAUUGGAACAUCCAUUAGAGAAAGUUUGAGAAUUAUUUUUACUUUCAAAUAUAGUUGAUCCGAAUAAUAUCUUUAUCAUCAUCAUCAUCAAUUUCUUGCAUUUCUUCCGCUAACAAGAAUUGCGUACAAAAUCUCAUUCCAAGUAUCAGGAACGCCAGCAAGACACCAAUGGCUGCAAUCGCUUCCCUUUUGGCCGUCGAGUCCAUAUAUUGAUGGAUGGCCAUCUUUUCUCAUCUGAGACAGUGUUGUUAUGUCCAGCAAAGUAACUUGCGUUGACAUACUGCUCAAGACUUCCUUCACAAUCCCCACCGCUGGCGGUGAACCUCCGGGAUAUGUUGAACCAUUUAUUGGUUGGGUUUGUCCGACGCACGUUGAUUUCGACUCACUCCAUUCCUGGCCACUGUCCACCAUAUAAAAAAGGGGGAAAAAAAUAAAUUUAUCGACUGAUGGCCUGUCAAGCACAAAUUGAUUCAGAGGGCAAUGGACAGAUUGAAUUAUUAUGUAUGUAUAUGAGCUGAAAGUGCUUACUUGUAAUGUGUAGGAGAAAUGCCUUGAAAGAAAACUUUGGUGGUGGUAGGAUCAAGGGAAGAAUCAACCCACUUCCCCCAAGUAGUGAGUCCUUUGUUAAACGCAACCAAACGAUCCAUAUCUUUUUGUAUAUUAUUUUCUUCUUGAAUGUAGUCCCAUCUGAAUCAAGCUCAAAAAACAAAUUAAUUUUAUCAAUUAUUCUUGAACAUUAUAUUUCGUUCAAUUAAAUUAAUAAGAAAAUGAUCAAAAUCUCCCUCUUUAUUUGUUAAAAUUAUCGUUUCUCACGUUUUGUUUCAAAACCCACCAAACUCUUUAAAAUUCUUUAAAAUGAUUCUGUUUUUCAAUCGAUCAAUUCAUUUAAUUGUCGACAAUGAUUUAGGCAGGGAGUAAGCCUAUUUGAAUCUAAGAUUUUUCUCGAUACACCCUUUUUUUAAUUAAUGUUUUUAUUAUUAAGAAAAUAUGGGAUAAAGUUACCUAAUUAACCCUAUUUUCAAUUUCUCUAACAAACCACUUUGUCUUUCUUUAGUUUCUUACCAUUCUCUCUCUCACGCUCUCUCUCUCGGUUGUGAUAGAUUGCAUAUGAAUAUGAGUAAUGAUGAGAAGAUUGUUCAAAUAGAAAUUGUCGUAACCUAUCAUCUAUCAAGAAUAAAAAUAAACAAAUUAAACCCAACAUCUAAAUACAACUUUUUAUUUAUCUUACUAAGUUACAUAAUAACGUAACUUACAUCAACCCAAGAGUUGUUCCAAACAAGAAAGUGUAGUUUAAUUGCUAAAUAAUCUUAGGUCAUUAGGCACCACUCUUGGGUGAAUGCCCUUUGUCAUCCAAAUUUUCAUAAAGAAAAAUCUAGCAUCACCUAAUUUCUAUCUAAAGUUAAGGAUGUAAACUAACAAAUAUCUCCAUUUUAAUCACCAAAACGAUGUUUUAGAUUUUGACAAGAUACUUCUACAAUUUAUAAAUUAUUCAAUUAAAACAAUAAUUUACGUUGAAUAUACUGUGUUUAAAUAAGUUGUUAUUAUAACAUCUAGAUCGAGAAGAAACAAUAUUCGAUGAUUUACUUAUAGAAAAAAGAACUAAUGGCUACAAGAAAUAAGAUAAGAGAGUUCAAUUUACAAAUAGCGAUGGUAGAGAAAGACUUUUAUUAGAGUGAAAUUGAAGAAGAAAGAGAUUAGUGAGGGUUAAUUUUAGAAUUUUAAAAAAUUAAAACUUUUAGUAAUAAAUAUUUCUUUUUAAAUAGAUUUAAAGGAAAAAUAUUAAUGGUUCAAAUAGUCCCACUCCUUGGGCAUAGGGUCAGCAAUUUGAUUUAAAAAAAUAAUUAAUUAAUCGUAAGUCUGAUUCUUAGGGAUACUAUAGUAGAAUACAUGUAAUAAUUAAUUAAUUAAUUAAUUGUGUUAAUCAAUGUUGUCUUACGGUUGUUUGCUUCCUUUAUGGAGCCACCAAUGCCAGGUAUUGAAGAUAAGCAUGUCAUAUCCUUUCCAUGCAUCGCCGUGCUUAAUGGAGUCGAGCUUUAGAACUCUGCCAAUCUUUUCUUUUACUAUGUCGACAAGAAAGGCAUUACGAUCUAACUUCACAGAAAUGUCAUAUUCCUGCAAAUUAAAAUAUAAGAAAUUUGAUUGAUAAAGCUCGGCUUAAUUAACUAAUUGAAGCAUGUAUAUGUUAAUGUUUAGCAAUUAAUAAAGGUUAUUUAAUAAACCUACAGGUAUAGUGAAGGUUGAGACGCCAUUUGUUCUGCUGAUUGUGAAGUUUGUUUGGGGCACCGAAGCAUGUAACAUGCAUGCAAGUGACUGCCAUUGAUUUAGGCUCAGAGAGUCCCCCACAAACAAUAUUUUCUUCCCCUUGUACCUCCUCAAGAAAUCCCGGCCAUCGAAUCUGCAUCAUAUAUAUAUAUAUAUAGAUAGAUACAUAGAUAGAAAGCUAGAGUUCUUAGUAAUUGCAGUUGCACCGCCAUAUCCAUAUUUGCAAAUUCUCUCAAAUAAAAGAAAAGUACAUGCUUUAUGUUUUGUUAUUUGCUUAACUAGACAGACUUCCGUGAACAUUGCAUGUAUAUAUACCUGAUCAAGUCCAAAUGCUUCUUGUAUCUAUAAAAUACAGAAGCGGCACAAAAUUAUUUUACGUCGUCCAGUACUCACCAUAAAGUGAACACUGAAUACGUGACACAAUUUUAUGACUUAUUAUGAAUAUUGUUGAGAUUAUGAAUUAACCAAAUAUCAUCAAGUGAUGAUGACACCACUAUAAGAUGAGCACCAUCGCUUACUAAAUCAUUAAUGUGUGUACAUGUGUGUGUGUAUAUAUAUAAUUAUUCUUGAUGACUGAAACACACAACAGUUUAUGUAGAAAAAAUUUGUAAUGGUACAAGAAGUCUAGGGUGCCAUGGGAGGGAAGAAAAUCGAGUGACCAUCCUACUACUUAAUAAAUAAAUAAAUAAGUCCCUGCACGAAAUUAAAUUUUGAGUUGUUAGAAGCAAGGAACGCAAAACAAGAAACAGAAAAUAAAUAUUGGUACCUUGGCAAUUCACAAGCAGUAGGCUUCCAUUUGUAUUUGAGAUACAGUUUAUCAGGGCGACCAUUUUUGAGGCAGUCAAAUUCUCUUUCGAUAAAUGGACAAAUUGAGGUGUCAUAAAGAGGGUAAGUGUCAUCACGAACCCAACUCCCUUGGAAGAAAUCACAGCCGCCCACUUUUGAAUUACCUAAUGAUAGAUCACUAAGUUGUUGGUCAUCACCAUCAUGAACCUUAGCAGCGUCUGAAUAUUGAUGAAGACAAGAGACGAAAACAACAGCUGCAAAAGCAAUACUGUAGAGAAAGUUAUGAAACCCAUAUCCCAUUUUUGAUGAAAGAGAAACGAGGAGCAAAAGGAUAAGGACUUUGAUAAUGAGUUGUCCUUGCGCUUGUGGUAAGAAUAUAUCAUAUAACACAAGGUCUCAACUUAAGGGACUAUAUAAUUUUAGAGAAAAGUAUAUUGAAUAGUUUAGAAAUGCUCUUAAGAGAAGGAAUACAGUUGGGUUUGCUUUAAGACAAAGACAUGAUUCCUUUUUUUUUUCUUCUUUUUUUUCCCCCUCUUUCUUCUUCCUUUUUAAGUGGGAAUUUUGCUUCUUCUUUUUAUUUUUUUUUUUGCCCCCACUACAUUUUUUUUUUUUUCUGAUAGGACCAAAUUCUUCCAGAGACUUAAAGUCUACAUCUCAUAAUGUCUACUCAAUUUAAUUUGCUCAAUAUGUAAUUUUUAUCCCUCAAAGGAAAGAUUCCCUUCUAGUCAUACAUAUUCUGCUUUACAGCCAAAAAUGUAAAAGAGCUUCGUUCCCUUUGAAUUAUUGAUAAUGUUAUGCAUGUGCAUAUAAUUGAGAUAUAAAAUCUAUAAUUCAAGUGAUGCGGCAUAAAAUUUGAGAAGAGAAGAGAGGGUUUCAAAUUUCACGUGCAAACACAUAUUUAUGGAAUCUAAACUGUGUUUUUGCCAUACAAAGAUCUACGUAGAUGUGAAUACAAUAAUUAUGUGGCGAAUGCAAUGAGUGAACAUAAUUGGAACACAACUAUGUUUCUUGUCAUUUUCCAAUAAUUGGAUAAUUCAUAUCUCUCCAUCACAAGAUUUAAUAGGAUAUAUAAAAGCUAUAAUAGUUAAAAUAUAUGUGUUUGAUUUAAAGUAGUUGGCAAGUAUAUUAAUCUAAUUCUUUAGUAAAAUUAUUGUAAUAGUGAAACUACGACUACUUUCAGUUUUUAAAUCAUUGUAAAAAAUCCGCAUUACUUAAAAAAAAAAUCAAAUAAGAAAGAAGUUUGGACAACCAAUCAGUUACAUCCUUAUUACCUAAUUUAUUUGUUUUAUUUUUAAAAAAAAUUUAAGUCCCUUUAACAUGUUGAAAAUAAAAUUAAUUUAUUUUUUUAAGGUAAAAGUACCUUAAAUUCCGUCUCAGGAAAUUUAUAAAUCGUUAAAUUUAUUUCAUUUAUACAUUGGCGGCACUAAAAGUUAAGAAGGAUUUAAUUGAUUAAUUGUCAAAAAAAUUUUAUUAUUUAAGUUUUAUAAAAGUAAUAGAUUUUCUGGAAUUUUUUUUUUUGAAGUGUAGUGUGUUUAUACAAAUUUUGGUGGAACCAUCCCCACUCCUUUUUGGCAUUCCUUAGUUUUUCAAAAUCAACUGAAAUUAAAUGUAUAUUUAAAGAAAGAACAAAAUAUCACCAAGACCCCUUAUCUGUAGUUGCCUUCAAAAAUUAAAACUUAAUUAUUCAAUAAACCAUUACUUGUAUUUGUGGUCUGAGUGAUAGUUUGCACUUGAAACAUUCUGUUAUAAAAAAACUAUUUUUGACCUCAAGAUAGCUUCACUUGAUAUGCCCAGGCCUUGCCUGGGAAGUCCAGAUUUUAUUAAAAAUAAAUAAAAAUAUUUAAGAUAUAUUUUUUAAUUAAAAAAUCAAGUGAUAGAUUAAAUUUAAAUUUAUUUUUUAGUCCCUCACUUCUCCCACCAAAAAAAAAAAAUUUGCUUGAGAAUUUCUCAGUUAGAAUCUAAAAAAAAAAAAUUAACUUAUUUAGCCACAUGUUGCAUAUAGUUAAACCUUUAAGCCCACCUUACCAAACCCCGUCGUAUUUUUAAAAAAAAUAAAAAUAACAACUACAAAUUUGUCAAAUAAAUUUAAAAAAUAAGAAAAAUGUUACAAAACAUGAAAUUCGGGCUUUUAAAACCCAAAAAAAAAAAGAUAGCUGCUGAGCCAAGCCCAAGUGUUCAAAAUACAAGCUCGGCUUGAGCCCAGAUAUUGCCAACCCGAGGGAUUUUGUCAUCCCUAAUCUUAAUUUGGAGGUAUUGUCAUCCUCGAGCUUCAUCCUCCUAAAAGGGUUGACCUGUACUCUUGAAAAACCUUGAUUUUUACAAUAGAUCUUUUUUGACUUUCCAUAUUGGAGGAUUGAUACUAAUAAAAGGAUAAUUCGCAUGAACCUUGUGUAAAUAAAGUCCUCCACAAUUUUGAAAUGUAGCAGUCCAAGCCAGUUCAAACUCUAUUGGCAAGCUAUUUUAGAUUCUUAAUGGAGCAAUAUCAGAUGAGGCAAAUAAAGUGAAAGAGGUCCCAUAUACUAGUGUCGUAUAUUAUUUAGGUCUUAUUUGGGAUUGAGGUACUGUAAUUUUUAAGUUACAGUUGUUGUAGAAAAAAAAAAUUAUAACUAUGAAACAAAAGUUAGUAGUAUGCAGUAAAUAUAAAUUUUAACUAAUAAUUUUCACAAAAUUAUUAAAGAUAUAAUAGAUUUUUUAUUAAACAAGUGAAAAAUUAUAUCAGCAUAUUUUCCAGUCUAUAACAUCUAGUGUUUACCAAACACUUUAAUGUUGUACAUUUCAAGUUACAUACCAAACGGACCCUUAAUGUUUGCAACAGUGCUUGCAAGGUUUGACAUUAAUUUCUCAAGCGACUACUGUUGUAAGCAGAUACACUGCAAGACCUGGAAAGAGCACUAGAAAACAAUUGAAUGGAUUCUGAGACACGUAAGAGCAUAUCCAACUAUAAUUUGAUAUAUCGAGGUGAUAGGUACCAAGAUUGGAGUUUGGUGGGAUAUGUGGAUUGAGAUUAUGAUGAAGAACUUGAUGGAAGAAGCUUCUUAAGAGAGGGUACAUCUUUACUCUUUGUAAUCGUACCAUCAACUCGAAUGCAAGCCUUCAGCAUGUAGUGACUUUAUCAACUACAGAAGUUGAAUAAGGCUUGAAGAAGAAUGAAUGAAGACCUAUAUUAAUGUGUUAAUCUAAAGCACUAGUCCAAAAAUCUGCUCCAAUUAAAGAAGAAUGAAGAAGUUUAUUCUUAAAUUAAACUAAAUCAUAUUCUGACAACCAUAUGAGGAGACUUGACUUUAACAAUGAGGACAAAGAAUAUUGGUCGGACCAUUAUUAUUGUUAUUAUUUACAACAAAAUUACCUUCUGUAUUACUAGCCGCACCCCAAUGAUAGAGUCAUUCAAUCGUCUAUUAAAAAAUAAUAAAAAUUGUUUUAUUACAGAGUUAAUAUUUUGGUAUAAAAAAUCAGGAGGAUGUAGCUCAAACAAGCUUUAUUCUUGAGCAAAUUACCCCAGAUUUAAUCUUUAACUAAAUUAACCAAUAUAAUAGUAAUAAUAAAAUGAAUAAUGAUCAAAGAAUCAUAUUGUAAAGAAUCUCGUUCCAGGUAUCUGGAACACCAGCAAGGCACCAAUGGCUACAGUCCAUUCCUGUGGGUCCGCCAAGGCCGUAGAUCGAAGGAUGCCCAUCUUUACGCAGCAGUGAGAGAUUUGUUAUGUCUAGUAACUUCACUGGUUUUUUAAUCUUUCUUAGCGCUUUCUUCAGCACCCCCACCGCCGGCGGCAGGCCUCCCGGAUAUGUUGAUCCGAACACCGGUUCUCUCUGCCGGAUACAGCUCUUUGCACUCGGUUCAUGCCACCCCGUGCCACUAGUAUUUAUCAAAAUUCAAUGACCCAAAUUAGGUGUGUGUGAAUAUACAUAUUUGAGGAUUUAUGAUAUAGAAAUUUUAACUAAAUAAUUGUAAUUCAUUCACCUCCUAAUAGCUUUUACUAAUAUAUUAAUUAAUAUAUGUUAAUACUAAUGUCAAUUAGGAGUAAUGCUAAACUUAUAAAAUUUGUACUUAAAAUGACAUGUUACUGAUAAACGACUGUCACGCAUUUGAUAAUGAUUGAUUUUAUCUAGCAUAUAUCUAGUCAAUGUUUUUCUAUUUGCGCGAACUAUUUCAUUGGGUAUUUAAAUGUCAACAUCAAACAACUAUUAUCUUAUUUACGUUCGCUAUCAAAUCUGAAUAUUAUUCUAAUCAUAUGAUUUUGUGCCAAGUGAAAUACAAAAUAUUUAAAAACUCAAUGCUACUUAAAUUAGCAUGGAAUCGAAAAAUGAUAUUAAUUAGAAGCCAUAAAAGUAAUAAUGGGAAA
This 86642-nucleotide long non-coding RNA is filed under the name Citrus x clementina. RNAcentral describes it as "Citrus clementina (C. clementina) long non-coding RNA (CCLE_LNC004393)". The stretch from base 16334 to 16440 matches the Rfam family "Plant small nucleolar RNA R71". Lineage: Eukaryota; Viridiplantae; Streptophyta; Magnoliopsida; Sapindales; Rutaceae. The record is from RNAcentral.